GAGAGUUUUGGCUUGAUAGAGCUGAGAUUUACAGGUGUGGGGCAAAAUAAAUAUGUGAAAAUUAAUUUUCUUAUUGGCGAGCUUCUUGGCUUACUCUAGGAAGGGAGAUAUGUGGCCUUGAGCUAACCAUGGAAGCAUAAGAAUACUGACCAUGCUUGGAUUUUGAGAAGACUUCCUCGUUUUAUUUAUUUAUUUAUUUUUCAUGACUCUUGUUCUUGAGGCGGUGGUUGGCUUAUGGCCUCAUAUAUAAUUUGGUGUUUUUGGAGAUCAUAUAGUGAGGGAACUCUGAUGGAGAUGAGUCAUAGUUUGUGCAAGUGCAUAUGUAAUUCCAAUUUCCAGAUUCAAACGGGAUAAAUUCUUCCAACAAAGGGCUCGUUUGGGAGUACUUCUUUCUGAAACGCUUCUACAAAGAAGCAGUUUGUCAUUUGGAUGUCACAUUUGAAAGUGCUUUUACACAACAUAAUAGCGCUUUUGAUAUUUUGUUGAGUGUUUGGUUGACACAAUAAAAGCACUUUUAAAAGUACUUUACAAAAAUUUAAAGAAUCCCAAAAUAUUAUAAUAAACAUAGGAAAUAAAAAUUCACAGGAUCCCAAAAUAAAAACACAACUUAAAAAAGUAUGAACUUCACCAAGUAUAAUUUUUAAUCAUUUUUUGAAAAUAAAAAAGGAAUUAACUAGACAUAAUAAGAUUUUCAAUUCUCUCACGUUUGUCAGCCAUCUCAUGCCCAUGGGUUAGAUUUUGUUCUUCAACCAUCUCUUCCCCUAUAGUAACUCCUGCCCCGCCAGAGGGAAGUAGCUCAUCAUCAUCAUCAUACGGUUGGAAUUCUUGAUCUGUCAUUGAAUGACAUCUUGUAAAGUUGUAAAGAGUCAUUGAAGCAACAAUUAUUAUGCAUACAUAUAGGACAGCUCAUAGGAAAGCAUCUAAAACAAUUUUUUUAAAAUUUUUUUAUUUGAAUACAACCGAUAUUGGGAGUGUGGGGAUUUGAACACAUGAUCUAGGAUACAAGGGUAAUGCUCUUAAUUGUCAAAACAAUUUUUUUCUACUUUUACUGAACACCUAACUUUUUACCACCAAAAAAAAAAAACUAUAUAUAUAUUCCCAUUUGUUUUUUUUUUUUCACUUUGAUUUUUCUCAAGUUUUUAAAAAAUAAUAAUUUUUCUUUCUCAGUCAAAAUCUGAAGUCUUUGUGGUCCUUUGUUUUUCUAUUUUGGUAAAAAGCUUAGGGCCUGUUUGGGAGUGCUUCUGAAACUGCUAAAGGUGCUUUAUGACAACUAAAAGCGCUUUUGACAACGUUUGGCAAAAAAGUUGCGCUUUUGGGUCAUAGAAGCGUUUUCUGGAGAAGCACCUGCUAUGUACUUCUUCAGAAAGCACUCCCAAGUGCUUUUCCAAGAAGUACUUGGAUUUUUUAUGAAAAUUCAAAAUUUUUAUUAUAAAAGUGCUUUCGUUAGAAGUAUUUAUGAAUAGAAGUACUUCCUAGAGAAACAGUCCCAAACGAACCCUAAGGUUUCAGUAAAAGUUUAAAUUAAAAAACAAAAAAAAGGACAAUUUUGACAAUUCAAAAAAGAGGACACAUAUCACUCUUAGAUUGAGCCAUAAUAGAAGUAAGGAGGGAGUUCCUUCUAAUGGGUAAGGAGGGAAGUAUUGUAAAAAAGGAAACAUGUUACAAAAACACAAAGAAAACCUAACAGCAUUACUUAAAAAAAGUAGAGAAGUCAAGCCCAACAUUUUGAGUUUUAUACACCUACGUGACGUGAGCAUUCAAUAAUCAUCCUACACAUAUGCUGAUGUGAGCAUUCAAAAUCAUUAGAAUGAUUUAAUUGAAGACUCAACGUACGGACGUCUUUUUCACUUAGAUUCCCUUCCCGUACAAACUUGCAUCAGUUCCUCCACGACCCCAUCAAUCUCUUCAUCCUCUUUCUUGUUCAUGUUGUCUCUUAUUUUCAAUGCCUUUUUUCUCACUCCCUCUCCAAUUUUCUCCACAAAAACAUCUCUAAUCACCUUUGCGACCUCUUCUCUUUGCAAACUUCCUUCACCUGUUCUCUUAACCUCAACACCAACACCCACCUCCUCCACUAGUCUAGCGUUGAUCGGCUGGUCAAGAUGCAUAGGCAUGGCUAUAAUUGGAACACCAAACUUGAUGCUCUCCAACACUGAGUUCCAUCCGCAGUGACUCACAAACCCCCCAACACUAGAAUGCUGCAGUAUCUUUGCCUGUGGGGCCCAACCCUCCAUUAUCACUCCCUUCUCUCCCACCCUCUGUAAAAACCCUUCUGGUAACACCUCUUCAACCCUAGUAUUUUUCUCCUCCUUAGAAAAUCUUAUAACCCAAAUGAAGCUCACUUUGCUAAGCUCUAAUCCGUGAGCUAUCUCUUCUAUUUGCUCCUUGGACAGAAAGUACUCACUGCCAAAGCAUACAUACACUACAGAAGACCUUUCCAUUUUGUUCAGCCAUUUCAUGAUCCAUGUUUCCUCAUCAACUUUUUGAUCCACUGGCUCUUGAACAAGCGUGCCAACAGGCACGAUCUUUUUCCCCAUUAAAUCAGAGAGAUAAUCAAUAUAUUUUUCUUCAAUCCCCCUGGAUGUCUUUACCAAAAUGAUGUUACAAGAUCGAGCACUGCAUUGCUGAACACGGUCUCCAUCUUUGAUGCCAUUUGCUGAAGAUUCCAACACGUUGUUGAACUUUUCAGCUUCGUAAUCUUGAAGAUAAAUCGAAGGAAAAGGAAACUUGACACUAGGGUUCUUGAGAUGUUGAAUACUAAAUGAAGUAAAGGCAGCACCCAUGGUGAUGAAUUCGAUGGAUGGAAAAUUUUGCAAUGAAGCUAGAGAGGGCGCCCAUGGUUGAAGAAAAUCAUAUAUGAGCAAAUCUGGGCUUAGGGUUUUGAGGAUGUUGGAGAAGUUGUUGCUGGACAUAUCAAAGGCCCUUUUGAGAGUGGACAUGAGAUGGGGAGGGAGGCCAUUGGUGGUAUGGUAGUGAGGUGGGAGUUCAGGCAAGUCAUCAUGUGGAAGAUGGAGUUCCACAAAUUCAAUGCAAUGAGAAUAUUUUUGGGAGAGUUUAGGCUUGAUGGAGCUGAGAUUUACAGGCGUGGAACAAAUAAAGAUGUGAAAAUUUCUCUUGGUGGUCAGCUUCUUGGCUAGCUCUAGGUAGGGAGAUAUAUGGCCGUGAGCUAGCCAUGGAAGCAUAAGAAUAGUAAGUUUUCUUUGGUCAGAGUAAACCAUAUUUUGUUUUCCUUUCACUCUUUUGCUUGAGGUUGCUCGAUUAUAGGCUUAUUGGUAGUUUUUUUGUAGCUAGCUCUAUGCAUAUAUAUAUAUAUAUACACACACAUUCAUGGGAAAAGAGGCUUGGGGAUGGGAAAUCAAUUGAUUUCCUAUGUUUGGUAAAGUUCGGGUAUGAGAAAUCGUUGCUUUGCACAUGAGAAAGUAGAGGGGAAAGUGAAGCCCUCCUCCUUCCUUAGGUUUUGUUUUCCUCCUCAUGGGAAAGUUUGGGAAAAUGAGCUAAUAUUAAAUACAUAUUUUUCAUGACCAUAUUAUCCCCAUUAAUAAUUUAGAAUUACAUAAAUGCAUUCUAUUUUUAUUUGAUUUCAUAUGGGUAUAAUUGAAAAAUUAAACAAAUUUUGUUUUACAUUCCUACACAAACCAAACAUGUGAAAGGAAAUAAAGUGGUAUUUCUUGGUUACUUUCCCAAGAUUACCAAACAUAGGAAAGGAAUCUCUAUUUCCCAUCCCUUAGAAAAUGACUUGGAAAGUAAUUUCUCCUCAAAUUCGUUCCGUGAACCAAACGGAACCUGCAUAAUAGAAGUUCCAAAAAAACACGUGAUGAUUGGAUCAUGCAUAUGUAAGUUCCCGAGUGAUGAUUGGAACAAGUUCCUAAUGAUAAAGACUCGAAACAAGAAUAGUUUAAACUUUCUUCUUUGUUUGGCUUGAUAUAAGACGAAUGCACCAAACAAACCGACUAAUUGCUGGCACAAUAUAAAUUGGGGCUACAAUUACCUAAUAAUUAGGUACUAAGGGCUACAAUUACCUAAUAAUAUCAACUUUCAUUAUACAGAUUUGAGAAACAAAAAGUUCAACUUUGAUGACAAGCGAUAUUAAAGGAGGGCGUAAUCAAACUUAGGAUCUUGAGUGUAGAAAUAAAUACUUUUAACAACUUGAGCUACAAGCCUUUUGUAAUAUUAAUGAUAUUUUAAUUAUACGUUUGAAUAGUUCGCUUCCUUCUCUUUUAUUUUCAUUUGUUUAUAUUUAACUCUAAUUUUAUUUAUAUUUUUGGUCAAGGUAAAAAGACUUUGAAUCUCUCUCCAAUGAUUUUCACAGCCGAAACUCCUUUAGUUUCCACAAAUAUUUUUUAAUAUUUCAUGCAUUUGUAAGUUUCCGACUCGGAUGGUUCAUGUAACCAAGAAGUUUAAACUUGUUUUUGCUUGUUCCGCCGACGAAAGCGCAACAAAAGGACAAACUACAACCAAUACUUCUAGUAUCACCAGUUCUCAUUGAAUUUGUUGCCGUGAAUGUUUAGGAUUCUGCCCAAACUAGUAUUUGCGUUUCUGAAUUGUUUGAAAACACAUAUGAAAUUAUGAUUUCUCCUCCCCAGAAGACAAAUUGACGAAGAAGUAUCAUGAUUUUGAUGACACAAAUUAGAAUCCAGGGUUUUCGAAGUGCCUAAUGGACAACUAUUAAUUUAGAAAUAUAUAUAUUUUUUUCGCAAUGCAGAAACACAUAAAUCCCAAGUUUGAAUUCAUCCUAUUUUUGUUUUUGUUUUUUCCUUUUUUAACCCAGAAGAAAAAUUGAGUGCCACUCUGCUAUGUAGAAUGCAAGUUUUAGUUUAGAUUUUUUUUUCUUUUUAGUCUCUUAUUCUACAUUUAGAUCUCAUAUAUUUACUCGCAUUUUAUUAAAUCUAAGUCAUUCAAACAAUCUGACCACUUAACAAAUUACAAGUACUCAAACUUAAAAUCAGAUUGGAUGGACAUGAGGCUUACACUGAUGAUUCUACACGUGCUGAGAAUAGUCCUUUUAUUUCUUUAUUAUUUUCUUGGUCGGGACUCGAGAGACAGGUGUAGUGUAGCGAUGGAGACGAGGCCCGCAAGACAUAAAAGUCUGAAGAAGAGAAGCGUGAAAGCUUCAUUUAGACAGUUAAGUGCAUACGUAACGUAAAGAUUCAAAGACUAUGUCCCUCUCCAAACAGGGAAAGAUCUGAGUUGAAAGCAACAAACUACAGUCACAAUAGGAAAGCAUCUACAACGUAAAGAAAAUAAGUUUACCAGAAGCAUCGGAAAGAUCUAGAGUCUGAAGAAGAGAUACUGAAGUAAUUGUUCAUCGACUGAGCUUAAAUGAAAUAUUAACUCUUUGUUGUGCCAUAAGCACAAGAUCUUAAGAAAAAAAUUCAAGAUAAACCAUAUAAUAUUUUCUAACCCACAAAAUAAUAUAGAAAAUAAAUGCAAGAACAAGAGAAUAGCAAGACACAACGAGGCUGCUUACAAUCAGUGUAAAUGAGCAAACAAAUUCACCAUCAACAAAUUAGCAUGCUUAUGAAGUGUUUUGCAACCUCACAAACCAAGGCGCCAUAUACACCAAAUGACUCUCACUGAAAAACUAAACAAAGAAACACACUCACACUAAUGAAAGCAACGUUACAAGGUAGGAGAUUGAAUAUUACAUUUACAAUACACUCAUAAGUUACAAAAACUAAUUACAAAUAUUUAGCGCAUAGGUUACAUAGAACUGAAAGGGUGGAAUGAUAAGAGCUAUGGUGGUCAUCCACCAACUCAUGCAUUUACAACACCGCCUCUUGAAUGUCCACCAUACAAUACAAUGAUAUAGUUGCGUCAUUAAACACUUUGCUUGAAAAACUAUAUGGGACAAAACUUAGGCUACGGGAAAAAGAGUGCAACACAAAUAAUAUUGAUAUCACAUUUGUCUCUCCUACGGAAUGAGCUUUGGUGAUGUUUGUAUAAAAAUUGCGUACAAACCAUUAUUGGAAGAUUGGGCUAGAGUGGGCUUUACCCUAGUGUUGACUUUGGAAAGAGACAAAUUAGGCUUAGUUGUGUAAAUUCAAUCCAAAAAAAAAUUAAAUAAUAGCCCACAUCUACAGCCAAAUACUUUAAUACUUUAAUUACUAAAGUUUUUUUUUCUUUCUCUCUCUUCUUUGGUUUAUUCAGCUUUUGAUUUGGCUCAAAUAAUGUUUAUAUCUCUCUUUGAUUUUGUUUUUUCAAAUUUAUUGAUGUUGCUUCUUUUGAAAAUUUUGAAAUAUGGACCCUCCCUAACUAAACCACUCCAUUGAGCAAAAGCCCUUGAGCUUCAAAUUUAUCUUCGUCUGAGCCUCUGAAUUUUGGUUUUUUUUAGGUUUUUUUUGUUUGUUGUAGGUUUCUUUGUUCACAUAUCUCUCUAAAAAUAGUAUUUUUCUUAAUGAAUUCUGAAAAUAGUUUUUAAUUUGAAGGAAAUAUACGGAAUUAGUAAAAAAGUAUACCACUUUCAUUAAUCUGAAGGAAAUAUUGCUUUAUAUAUAUUUGUUUAAAAAUAGGGCUUAUAAUUGAUCUCAAAAAAAAAAAAAAAACAAAUAGCCCACCCCUGUAAAUAUUCCUUAGUCCGCCAUUGCAUGGCAUAAUAUUUGGUAUGCUAUGCUAGCAUCUCAUAAGCUCUUCAAGAGACCUGAAUUUUAUGAUAACUUCUUAAAAAAUUUGAAUACAUUUCAACGAUAUUAAACUUGAAUUUGAACUCAUAAUUCAAUCAAAGUACUCAUUGAGGCAAUUUAGAUCAUUUUCAUUUUAAAAAAAUUGGGUGCACACAUUGAGCUUCAUGCUCUUUACCUUCUUAGAGAUUUUAUUUGAGGAAUUUAUAUUGCAUCACAUAUUACAUCUCUUAGGAUUUGUUCUUAUUAUGUAUUCUUUAAGAGAUCUAUUCUUGCAAUAUGCUUCAAACACUUCAUAAUCUUUAUGAAUUUUUCAUGUAGAUUUAAGGUCUCCAUGAAUAUUGAGAUUGAAACAAGGAGUAAAAGAGUUAAAAGUUUAAGAAAUUUUUUCCCUGAUUAUUUUGUAAUUAUAAUGUUGGUGAAAAUCCAAUUUCCUUUCUAGAAUUUGUGAAAUUUGUUAUUUGGCUAAGCUAAAAGUAUAAUUUUGACAAUAAAAAGCAUAUGAAAGUUUCUCUUUGGUUGGCUUCUUGGCUAGCUCUAGGAACGGACAGUGUGGCCAUGAGAUAACCAUGGAAGUAUAAUAAGAAUGCUUGGAUGCUGUGAACAAUCCAUUUUCUGACUCUUUUUCUUGAGGUGGUUGUUUUCUUAUGGCCCAUCAGAGUUUAUGGUCGACAGAUAAGCUUCAAACACAUGCAUUGGUCGUGUCAGUUGCGAUAAACUCUUCCCAACAAUCAACAAUUUCUAAGGUAAUAUCAUCAUUCAAUCAUGUGCUGAAUUUAGAAUUGUUUUCAAAUCAAGGAUUUGUUUUGGAACUCAGAUUUUAAAACAAUUAAAAUUUAAUUGGGAAGACUUUUUGUUUAAAGGAAGUUCGUUUCAAUUCAAAAAAUAAUUUUUCAGUUUUUCAACUCAAAAGUCUUCUCAGUUUUCUUAUUUUUCUUAUUGGCGAGUUUCUUGGUUAACUCUAGGAAGGGAGAUAUGUGGCCAUGAGCUAACCAUGGAAGCAUAAGAACGCUGACCAUGCUUGGAUUUUGAGAAGACUUCCUCUUUUUUUUUUCCCUGACUCUUCUUCUUGAGGCGGUGGUUGGCUUAUGGCCUCAUAAUAGUUUGGUGUUUUUGGAGAUCAUAUGGUGAUGAUCUGAUGGAGAUGAGUCAUAGUUUGUGCUAGUGCAUACGUAAUUCCAAUUUCCUGAUUCAGAUGGGAUAAACUCUUCCAACAAAUUAAGACUCUUAUCAUGCAUACACAUAAGAAGUGGAAAUUUGCUUCUGUCUUAGUUUGGCCUUGAUAUAGGACAGCUCAUAGGAAAGCAUCCAAAACAAUAUUCUUUUUAUUUUUUUUAUUUGAAUACAAGCGAUAUUAGGAGUGUGGGGAUUUGAACACAUGAUUUAGGGUACAGGGUAAUGCUCUUAACUAUAUGAGUUACAAGUCCCUUGCAAACAGUCUGAAAUACUAAAAAUAAAAAAUAGAUGCUCAUCCAUAUGCACUGUCAUGCCCCAACCCUUGGAUUUACAAAACCUUGUGUUAAGACGUGAUUCACACCUUAAUUAUAGAAUUUAAUAAAAACUAUAACUAAAAUGUGAAGAAAACAUUUAAAUAAAUAAAAUAAAUAUUUCACAUAGAAUAUUCAGUGGAAAUGACAACAUGUGAAAUCUUAAAAAUUUUACAUUAUCUUACAAGUUGGCGUGACUUGUGGAUAUUGACUUACUUUCCUUACACACCAAGAAUUCCUAUUAUAAUUGUAAUUGAUUUACUUUAAUUCAUGAUUUCCUACUGUAAAUAGAUUUAAGAAUUUAUUAUUUACUUGCCCAUUCAGGUUUCGUUGUAUUAUAAAUAUGACCUCCUACAAGGAGAAGAACAUACAGAAAAUUCCCACAAACAAAUAUUCUCUCAUAGUUUUCAUAUUUUAGCAUGGUAUCAGAGCGGCAAUCUUGGAAUUGCUGACUCUAGUUUCAAACCCCCGCCGCCGCUAUGGGGGUUGAUGAUUUUUUCAACCAUCAUGGAGGUAGCACCAUCGACUCCUUCUCUCAUUCUCAACUAACCAUCGUUGAGUUGAGUGCCCAGAUGGCUCCGCUCCUACAGAUGCAGACUUUGACCCCAAACCCGAUCCAGAAUCAGGAUCUUCUUUCGACAACCACGACCCCGAUCUCGACUAUGACAACGACGACCCCGACCCCUACUCUGAAGAUGACCCCGACCCCCACUCCGAUGACCCCAACCCCGAAUUUGUCUCUGAUUCAGAACCCGAUCCCGAUUUCGACUCCGACUCCGGCCUCGACUCAGGCUCAGAUUUCGAUCCAAAUUCCUACUCAACUUAUAUCCUAUGCAUCUUCCGCUGCACAGAUUAUGACUUCUAGACUAACGACCCCGACAUAUGGACCAGAUUGCACAUAUUGUGGUGAUCCGAGACACACUUGUGAGACUUGUUUUAAAUCGCAUGGCUACCCCGAUUGGUGGGCUAUUCUUACAGAUCAAGGACAAUGCACCAGUAAUGGUACUGGUUAUGGAUUCCAUACUUCCGAUAAGAUUGAUUCCAGGAGCUGGAUAAUUGAUUCUGGUGCAACUGAUCAUAUGACGUUUGAUCCUGAUGAUUUUCUGAAUACUACACAACCUCGACGAACUUGUAUUGCAAAUGCCAAUGGUGUUACUUAUCCUGUGACAGGGGCUGGCACUGUUGCACUCUCAUCCUCUCUCACACUGUCUAAUACUUUACUUGUUCCAUUUUUAUCCACUAAAUUGUUGUUAGUUAGUCAGCUUACUAAACAAUUGAAGUGUUGUGUACUCAUUUACCUGAGUUUUUGUUUGCUUCAGGAUAUUCACACUAAGGAGAUUCUUGGUCGUGGUACUAAGAGAGGGGGGCUAUAUUAUGUCGAUGACUUCAGUUCCGGCGUGCCUAACAGUGUGACACAUCCCUUUGAUAGCAAACAAAAGCAAAUUUGGUUGUGGCACCUUCGAUUGGGACAUCCGUCUUUCAGUUAUAUGAAGCAUCUUAUACCAGAUUUAUUCUUAGGUUUCAAGGACUCCGACUUCACAUGUGAUACUUGUAUUUUGGCUAACAGUCACCGUGUGCCCUACCUGUUGAGUACGAACAAGUGUACUUGUAAGAUCCCACAUCAACCAACGGAGAGGGGGUGAUGUGCCUUAUAUAUGCACACCUGCAUCCAUCUAGCACGAGGCCUUUUGGGAGCUCACUGGCUUCGGAGUCGUAGGAACUCCGAAGUUAAGCGAGUUGGGGGCUAGAGCAAUCCCAGGAUGGGUGAUCCACUGGGAAGUUGCUCGUGAGCUCCUAGAAACAAAACCGUGAGGGCAGAGAGAGGGGCCCAAAGCGGACAAUAUCGUGCUACGGCGGAGUUGAUCCCGAGAUGUGACAAUUUGGUAUCAGAGCCACUCUGCCGUGUGGUGCGAAUGUGCCGACGAGGACUUCGGGCCCUUAAGGGGGGUGGAUUGUAAGAUCCCACAUCAACCAACGGAGAGGGGGUGAUGUGCCUUAUAUAUGCACACCUGCAUCCAUCUAGCAUGAGACCUUUUGGGAGCUCACUGGCUUCGGAGUUGUAGGAACUCCGACGUUAAGCGAGUUGGGGGCUAGAGCAAUCCCAGGAUGGGUGACCCACUGGGAAGUUGCUCGUGAGUUCCCAGAAACAAAACCGUGAGGGCCAGAGAGGGGGGCCCAAAGCUGAUAAUAUCGUGCUACGGCGGAGCCGAUCCCGGGAUGUGACAAUUGUACUACUCCAUUUACGUUAAUUCACUCUGAUGUCUUGGGACCUUCGCCUAUCACUGCUCCUUCUGGUGUUCGAUGGUUUGUCACAUUCAUCGAUGAUUGUAUACAGAUGACAUGGCUUUAUUUGCUGAAGAAUAAAAACGAAGUGUUUUCCCGUUUUCAGUCCUUCCACAAACAGAUGAAAACUCAGUUUAAUGCUCAAAUCCAGAUUCUUCGCUCAGACAAUGGUGGAGAAUUUGUCAAUCAUGACUUUCAGACUUACUUCCAACAACAUGGAAUUAUCCAUGAGACGACUUGUCCUCAGACACCACAACAAAAUUGUGUUGUUGAACGAAAGAAUUGACAUCUUCUUGAAACCGCCCAAGCACUUCUGAUUGGCGCUCAUGUUCCUCGCUAUCACUGGGAUGAUGCUAUUGUCACCGCAGUUCACCUGAUCAACCGCAUGCCUUCUGGUGUAUUGACCUUUAAAACUCCCUUACAGGUGCUUGCGCAACACAGACCUCUGCUCUCUGUUUUGGUACUCACACCCCGAAUCUUUGGAUGUGUGGCUUUCGUUCAUCUCCACAAAAAUCAACGUAGCAAACUUGAUCCCUGUGCGCUUCGUUGUGUUUUUAUAGGUUAUGCCACUCAUCAGAAAGGCUACCGUUGUUAUCACCCUCCUACCCAACGAACCUAUGUCACUUUGGAUGUGACCUUUCUGGAAUCUGAGUUGUUCUUCCAUGACCCAUCAUCCAAUUCUACGCAUCAGGGGGGGAUACGAAGUGAAGAGCAGAAUUGAAGCAACUUGGGAAAUAAAGAAAUUUUCCUCUGUACAGAAAUGAUUAAUCAUCCUGAGUCUGGAGCACGAGAUUACUCUCUGUCGAAAAGCAACCAAUCGCCCAUUCAUAGCGAUCAAUUGCCUCACCUACCUGAUCCAUGUGAAGAUAUUUUUGAUCCGAGUCUCACACCUACAGACAAUACAGAACAACAAGAUGAAGACUCCCCCUCUAACUCAACAGUACCAACAGACCAAUCUCCUGAGAAUAUCCUUGAGGUAACUACUCCUACUAGAUUUGUGCAUUUAAAUGAUUAAACUAUUGGAUAUCAAUUACCUUUCAGGGAAAAUCGUGGGAAGCCAUCAAACCGUUAUGCACCUGAUAUUGGCAAGACAUCCAAGUAUCCAAUUGCAAAUCAUGUAUCCACUGAGAAGCUGUCUGAACAACUCAAGGCUUUUGUGCAUCAGUUGUCUGCGAUCCAUAUUCCAACCAAGGUCUCUGAAGCAUUAAAAUAUCCUAAGUGGGUCCAAGCUAUAAAAGAGGAGAUGAAAGCUCUUGAGAAAAAUCAGACUUGGACAUUAGAGACUAUACCUCGAGGAAAAAAGACUAUCAGAUGUAGAUGGGUGUUUACUAUAAAACACAAUGUAGAUGGAUCUAUCGAGCAAUACAAGGCAAGACUUGUGGAAAAAGGGUACACACAGACAUAUGGUAUAGACUAUGAAGAAACCUUUGCUCCAGUUGCAAAGUCAAACACCAUCAGAGUCUUAUUGUCCCUUGCAGCUAAUUUGGAUUGGCCACUACACCAGUUUGAUGUAAAGAAUGCUUUUCUACAUGGCGUACUCACGGAGGAGGUGUACAUUUACAUUCCUCCUGGAUAUAAUACUACUUAGACUGGAACAGUUUGCAGGUUACGAAAAGCAUUGUAUGGAUUGAAACAGUCACCACGUGCAUGGUUUGGACAGUUCACCAUGGCAAUGAAGAACAAUGGUUCAAACAGUGCAACUCAGAUCAUACUCUACUCUUGAAACAUCGAAAAGGGAAGGUAACAACAUUAAUAAUCUAUGUUGAUGAUAUGAUUAUUACUGGGAAUGAUAAACAGGAAAUAUCACAGCUACAAGACUAUCUGGCUACGGAGUUUGAGAUGAUGGAUCUAGGUGGACUCAAGUAUUUCUUGGGAAUUGAGGUGGCUCGAUCCCAGCAAGGCAUAUUUCUCUCUCAAAGGAAAUAUGUCUUGGACUUGUUGACAGACACAUGAAUGCUAGAUUGUAAACCUGCGAACACUCAUAUUGUUCAGAAUCAUCAUCUUGGAGAAUAUCAUGAUCAAGUUCCAACUAACAAAGAAAGAUACCAAAGGUUAGUAGGAAGAUUGAUCUAUUUGUCACAUACUUGACCAAACAUUACUUAUGCAAUGAGCGUUGUCAGUCAAUUUAUGCACUCUCCAAGUGAAGACCACACGAAUGCAGUUCUUCGGAUACUUAGAUAUUUGAAGUCUGCACCUGAAAAAGGACUUAUUUUCUGAAAGCAUGGUCAUAUAAAUAUUGAUGGUUAUUCAGAUGUAAUGUAACAGAUAGAAAAUCCACAUCCGGUUACUUAACAUUCAUGGGAGGUAAUUUGGUGACAUGGAGGAGCAAGAAACAGAAUGUAGUAGCUUUAUCCAGUGCAGAAGCCGAGUUCAGAGGCAUGACUAAAGGAAUUUGUGAACUUCUUUGGUUAAGAAAGUUGCUUACUGAACUUGGGUAUAAACCUACAUCCACAAUGAUUCUCUUUUGUGACAACAAGGCUGUUAUAGCCAUUGCACAGAAUCCGGUUCAGCAUGAUCGUACUAAACAUGUUGAGGAGGAUCGACACUUCAUCAAACAGAAGCUUGAGGCUAAAAUGUUUCAGUUUUCUUUUGUGAAAUCCGAGGAUCAAUUGGCGGAUAUUUUGACAAAGGUGAUUUCCAGUAAAACAUUCCACAAUUCACUGGAUCAGUUAGGCAUUGGCGAUAUCUAUGCACCAACGUGAGGGGAAGUGUUGGCGUGACUUGUGGAUAUUGACUUACUUUCCUUACACACCAAGAAUUCCUAUUAUAAUUGUAAUUGAUUUACUUUAAUUCCUGAUUUCCUAUUGUAAAUAGAUUUAGGAAUUUAUUAUUUACUUGCCCAUUCAGGUUUCGUUGUAUUAUAAAUAUGACCUCCUACAAGGAGAAUAACAUACAGAAAAUUCCCACAAACAAAUAUUCUCUUAUAGUUUUCAUAUUUUAGCAAGAACUACUCGAGAGUUUACUAAAAGAGUAGUUCAGUAUUCAUCCACAAGCUAUAUACACAAUACACUCUAUAGAUAUGCCAAAAUCAUCGCAAGCUCUAGAUUUUAGGUUCGAUACCUGCAAAAUCUAUUAGAAGGGUGAGUGAAACCACAGUUUAGUAGGGACAUAAACCUUUUCACGGUAAACUGAUAUAAUUAAAUUAAGUGAAAAAUAAUCACACAGCCAAAUAUCACAUUAUUAAUAACAAUGCAUGAAUGCUCUUCAUUUAACCCGUUAAUUCAUAUAAUUAGACAAGCUUCACGACCCAUACCAUGCUUAUACCACUUAGUCCCGAAUGCCAAUUUAUAUGAAUUAACGCCCAUUUCAAUCAUCCCAUAAUUCCCAUUUUGUUAGUCAUCUUGUCUAACUCCCUGUUGCCAGUCCUGAAUCACCAAAAAAAAAAAACCAUGUGCACUAUGGGAUCCCUGAGUACUAGUACCUGGCAAGAGUUAGACUCAACUACACAAAAGAUCAUUUCUAUUACCCUCUUAUCCACCAUUAUUUUCUCAACUUCAGAAUUCUAGCCAAAUUCCAUGACAUGAUAUAAUUAAAAUUAUGCCUUCACAACAAUGUGCCCAUUUAAAACAUCACUAAUGCACAUAUAAUUAUGCCCACAUUGUUCAAAUAGUUAAGAGUACGUAAAUACCCAAUACAUGGAACGUCAAUCAAACAGUACCACGCAUAAUAUAAUGCUCAAGAAAUUUAAUUAAAUCAAUCUCUGUAAAAGGCCCCUAAGAAACCCCUGCCUUGAUACUAAAGCUUUUGCUAGACCUAUAAGGUGUUUUCCAAUUUUCCACCGCAUUCACAAACUCUGUCUUCUACUUUUUUUCUUACUUCUCUCUACCACUAUUUCUUUCUCGUUUUCUUUGUUUUCACUUGUUGUGCAACUUAAUGUCCUAUAUAUAUACAAGGAACAAGUCGGCAGUAAGUGAUUUCCUAUUGGAUGGUGUAUUCGGUUGUUAUAAACUUACUAGUAAUAGUUAUCAAUGUAGUUGCAGAUGAGGAAGAAUGUUUUUGUGACUCUUCCAAUCCCUCUAAUCCUAUUUCUUAUCUUCUUGGUGAGUUGAUAGCCUCGAUACUUAACAGAUUUUAUACUUUGACACGUAUUAACAAGAACUAUUUUAAAAACAUAUACAUAUAUAUAUAUAUAAUAGAAUAUGUAUAUAUGUAAUACACAUAUUUAUAUAUAAUAAGAAUAAUAUAUAUGUAAUAAGAUAUAAAUAUUUAUUAGAACAGUAUAUAAAAUAAUAUAUAUCAUUCUUAUUAUAACAAUAAUUUUAAUUUUCCCAAAAUAAUAUAUAUUUAAAAAUAUGUGGUUUCACAUGCAUGUCCUUUUUGCUAUAGACACUAUUACAAAAAUCGAAAUAGACAACGGAAAACUACCGUCGUCUGGAAAGUUUUCAAACAGUCGUGAAAUCGACUGUCGUCUCUUUUACAUAAAACAACGACGGCUAUUAACCAACGUCGUUAAUACAUUCCACGUAAAAAACUAUUAUAAACCGACGUGUAAUUACUAUAUAUAUAGCCUAAAAUAAAAUCUUCAACAACCUUAGACGACGGUUUUAUUAAAACUGACACGUCUAAAGAGUGUUACAUGUCAAGAUCAAAACAAGAACCGACGUACAGAUAAUUAUCCACGUCCUAAUUGAAGUAAAAUAGACUUGGAUAACCUAGAAACCGUCGUGGUUAACAUAUACUACGUUAAAUUAACAAAGGCACUUACGUCUAAAAAGUAAAAGACAACACGCGCACAAAGCAACAGACGUUUAAAGCUUAGUACAUGUCAAUAGCCGCUCAAUAACCGCAGUAAAAUGAAUUAACCACGUCCCACAUAUGGCAGAACUGUUGCUUAUGUGAUUAUCCACGUCGCGGAGUAGUAGAACAAAGACGUUGUAACCAUAUUCCACGUCUGUUUCUUGUGAGAAUUGUCGUUUAAAUUAUACAAAGAAGCCCCUUUGACAGAGUUAGACGUUGCUCUUGCUGUAGAACCGACUUCUAACAGGUUUAAAAUGACACAAUAUUACUUAAUACUGCCGUAACAAAUCAUAUCCACGACUGCUGUUGUCAAAGACUGACGUUACAAAAAAUAUUGAAGGUGUUGACAAAAAAGAACCGACAUGGAUUAUGCAUUCAACGUCGUGUGGUCUAAAAAUAAAGGACGUGGUUAAUUUUUUCUCUACGUCAAGUGGAUCCAAUUGCCUGAUGUUGUAAUUCUUUACCAUGUUGGUUUUUAAUACAUGAUGAUGUGGUUGUCCUUUUAAAAGUCGCUUGUUUUACCCUCCUUGACGUGUGUAUGAUAUGAGACGUCAAUUGUUUUAGACUAGCUGACGUGCAGAAAAUCUGUCACGACAAUUAAUGCAACUGAAUUGCCUCUAUUUCCCCCAGACGACGGUAGGUUUUAAGUGUGGAAGUAGUGUUUUACAAAAUCGUAAGUUGGAGUAAUCUACCAUCGUGUUAUUCGAGAAUAUACCACGAUCUUUGUUUUGUACUCGGUCGCUGAUGUUUAUACUACUUAAUAAACUGACAUGUUUUCAGUUUCAGACGGCGGCUUUUGUUUCUUUAUGGUCUUUUGCAUUUUUUUUCCAUGACAUUUUUGAAAGCCUAAUGUUGGUUUUAUUUUAGAAAUCGAUUUUUCCCCUUUUUUUACUGGACCGUCGUACUUUACACAUUUAAUCAAUUUUUUUCAAUUUUUGAUUCAUCGUGCCCAAAGCCUACAUAACGAAAAUGUGAUCAGAAUUAAAAUGAUGUACAAAGGUAUUAAUUAAUGUCAUACAAUUAACUGAAUAACUAAUGUCAUACACUACAACAAUCAAUCAAUCCAUAUAUCUUCACACCCAUCUUUAAUAUUUUCACUCCCAAACUCACCCACUAGGUCAUCAUAUGUGUCAACAUUUGGUAUCCCUCUAGUAAAUGUCUCACACUCAAUUCUAAUAUCACCUAGCACAUCAUCACCAAUAACAUUAUUAUAUUCUCUAUUAUGCAUUGAUAACACUACCGACCAACCACGAUGCAUUGGGUCGUCAGCAUAAAAUACUUGUUUUGGUCAUUCCUAUGUCCAAUUUUACUCAAAUCUACAAAGGUGAAUCCAAGUUCAUCGACAACAAGGCCCAAAGUGUUAUCUAUCCAAUCACACCUCAAGACAAGGAUUCUAAACUUUUGGUAGUCAAGGUCCCAAAUUUCUUGAAUAACACCAUAAAAACCCAUAUUGGAGACAAUAGAGUUUUUAUCCUUAGCACUAGCAACUUGCAUAGUAUGUGCAAGUAAAUAAACUCCACUAUUUUGGACAGUUCGCAUAUCAUCUUGUGCCUUGGUGUUAAAUUUAACACCAUUAAUAAGAUAGCUCCUAUAUGAUGGCAUUGCCAUGCUUGGACUAGCUGCUAGCCACCUCAAAUUUUAUGAUACGCCAUUAUGCUCUUCCCCAUUAAGUUCACUUUGAACUUGCAAAUUAAUCGUAUAUAUCCUAAUUCGAUCUAACAUAUAAAAAGGAAGAAAAUUAAAAGUUGAAUAUGUCAUUCAAUAACAUAUAUACUUGAAAGUGUAGCCAUUGAAUGAAAGUGCUAUUGUGCUUAUCUUGCAGCCACUUUGUUCUCUUUCUAAAUAUUGGAUAAGUGGUCUUGAUGUGGAUCAUAUGUUCCAUACAUUGACACGAAAAAAUCAAGCAUUACGGUCCCUUGUAUAUAAGAUAACAUAAGGAAUAAUAAUAUUUAAAAUGGCUCUAUAUGAAAAAUGGAACUCAUGCGUACUCGAUAUAAGGUAGGACUUCCUCAGUAUUCUCCAAGACAUAUAGAUGUGUCUGGUUCAAAAAACCCGAUCACCUAAGCUUACUGUGCAACCAGAUAAUGGCUUUGAAACUCCCAUCUUCUAGCUUGAAGGCACUCCAACUGUACUAACAUCAGAUAAAUGCUCGGUGCAAAACUCUACAACUUCUUCAGCUAUAUACCGCUCAAUAAUGCAACAUCCGGGACGAGUACGGUUCUGAACAAACCUAUUUAGCACUUUCAUAUGUCUUUCAAAUGGAUACAUCCAUCUAAAAUAUACUGGCCCAUGUAGACGAACUUCUCUGACAAGAUGUACUACUAGAUGAACCAUGAUAUCAAAGAAUGAAGGGGGAAAGUACUUCUCAAGCAAACGCAACGUAACUACUACAUCUUCUUCCAAAUUAUCUAGCUUGGAAACAUCUACUGUCUUUGCACAUAUAGCAUUGAAGAAGAAGCACAAUCGAGUUAUUGCAUACCUUGCAGGCUUCUCCAAACAGAACGAAUUGCCACAGGGAGCAAUUGUUGCAUCAAGGCAUGAAAAUUAUGAGAUUUAAGGCCAAGAAGUCUUGAAUAUUUUUAAGAUACAAGAUUUUUUUAUAUUUGAACAAUAACCUUCAGGGACUUUCAUACCAUAGAAAGAAUUGCAAACCGCUCUCUUAUCUGCUCUUGACAAAUUCUAGGGCCUUGGAGGCAAGCGAGUACGUCUUUCUCAAUACUCGGGUUGCAAAUCAUUUUUGACCCCCAUGUUCAAUAAAUCUAACCGAACAGCAAUCUCAUCUUUAUUUUUUCUAGGGAUCUCCAGCAAUGUACCAAUGAUACUAUCGCAAACAUUCUUCUCAAUAUGCAUAACAUCUUGGACAUGCCUCAUAGGAAGGUAUUUCAAAUACUCGAGAUCAAAGAAUUUUGAUUUCUUAUUCCAACAAACUCUGUCACCAUCAUUCUCAAAAACACUUCCCCCAUUUUUCGAGCCCCAUAUGUAAUUAAUAUCUUCAACCAUGUCCUAUUCAAGUUAAUGGUUCGGGAGGCGUGCCAUAUUCAAGUUUUCCAUUGAAAGCUGCACGCUACCUCCGACAUGGAUGAUUGAUUGGUAACCAUUUUUUAUGACCAAUGUAACAAAUUUUGGGGCCAUUUUCAACCUGUGACUAGGUGUAUCAUCGCCGCAUAUUGGACAAGCUUUAUAUCCUUUAACGACACUGUAACACCCCGACUCUAAAUUAAUCCCUUAUUUAAUUAUUUAAAGAAAAUUACAAAUUUACCCUUAAGAUAGGGGUAUUUUGGUCAUUUUCUUACCCGAAGAGAGUUUGGGGCAGUGACUAGUAUUUUUGGAUAGGUCGUACUGAGACGAGUUCAUAGACACGUAGUGGGCUCGAAUCGAAGUUGUAACGAGAGAGAUAUGGUCAAAAGAAACCCAAUUGCACAAUCAUAAUUAUUUCGAAAUGAGAUUUUUAUAAAAAUCAGAUUUUUUUUUCUCUCUCUCUCUCUCUCCUCGUCGGUCUCUCUCCCUCUCCUCGAAACUCCGGCCAUCGGCCACGGCUGUGGACGGGGCCGGUACCAAAAUGACCGAGGCGUUGUCCUCCUCUAAUCCCAGCUAGGUCCCGCCGUCAGCCGCCAUGGUUUCGCCGGAAAAUGGAGAAGAAGCGGCCGGCGUCGUCCGAAGUUCUCCGCCGUUGAUCUCCCUCUUCCGGUCACCGAUUCCGACGAGUGAGGUAUGGUUUCUCACCUACUUUUCAUGCUCUAGCUGCCUGCUGGGUAUGAUUGGAUUGAUUUUUAGCGUAGGCAAUUCGAUUUUCGCAUUGAAAUUCGGCUAAUUUUGGAAUCACGAUUCCGGCUAGUUCUGGUCAGUUUUUGGGGUAGAUCCAAGAACAAAAGUGGCUCCAAAUAGGGUGUUAUACCUAGGGUAGGAGUUUGGAGCCAUGGUUUUGAGAUUUUCCGGCGAUACGUAAUCGCUUUAGACACCCAACGCUGCCCGCACGUGUGGCAGUGCGUGGGCGAGGGUAGUGAAAUAGCACUAUGUCUCGAUGAGAUCCUUAGGUUGUCACGAGUGCGUAGGAUUUCGCGGAUCUCAAUUCGGACGUCGUUUGACUAUCGAACGGAUUUUCGUAUAUUGCGCGUCAUCCGGGUUCGAUAGGUUGGGACCGUUGGAUGGUCUCGAAUAAAAUAUAUGUUAAUCUAGGUAUUUCUAGGAUCAUGUAGGAAUUCACGGAUUAUAAAUCGGAGCCCCGGAUAUUCCGAAUAAAUAAUUUAAAGUUUAUGUUUUAUAAUAACCGUCACAUCGUGCGAUCGUGAGCGAUCCGACCGGCCGAUCUGGACCAAACUUACAGAACGAGUGUCCUAUACCUUGAAGAACCCAUAGGAAUUUUCAGAUCGAAAUUUGGAGGUCGUGGGCCCCGUGGGCCCAUUUGACUAGGGGUAGGGUAGUUUGACCCUUAGUUGACCGUGAGUCUCCCGGAGUAAUCUCACCUUUCCAGGGGGAUUAUCGGGUGCUAGACUGUUGUUGAGGUUUACACGAUAUUAGUAGUAAAUUAUAUAUUUAUAUACAUUUGUAAAGGUAAAAAAUAAGUCCAGAAUGUCAGUUUGAAGUGCUUUACGCACUACCUUAGGUACCUCCCCGGAUUUUAGUUACACUACAAGUACCACCCUAUGAAAGUUAGGUCCCACGUGGCGUAGGUUAUCCGGCGUGCGGACAGGCCCUAUACGUGGCAUUGGUAGUAUCGGUGUAUGGGGAGAUUACGUGAUAAUAUGUUGAGGUCACACGUGGCGUAGGUUAUCCGGCGUGUUGACAGACCCCAUACGUGGCGUUGGUUGUACCGGCGUAUGAGGAGAUAUUGUGAUAUGAUAUUCAGGUCUCGCGUGGCGUAGGUUAUCCAGCGUUGAGACAGACCCCAUACGUGGCGUUGGUUCUACCGGCGUAUAAGGAGUUUAUGUGAUAUUAUGUUGAAGUCGCGCGUGGCGUAGGUUAUCCGGUGUGUCGACAGACCCCAUACGUGGUGUUGGUUGUACCGGCGUAUGGGGAGAUAUGUGAUAUGAUGUGCAGGUCUCGCGUGGCGUAGGUUAUCCGGCGUUGAGACAGACCCCAUAUGUGGCGUUAGUUGUACCGGCGUAUGGGAAGAUAUUGUGAUAUGAUAUUCAGGUCUCGGGUGGCGUAGGUUAUCCGGCGUGUUGACAGGCCCCAUACGUGGCGUUGGUAGUACCGGUAUAUGGGGAGAUUAUGUGAAAUACAGAGAAAUGAAAUAAGGUAUUGCCUAUGUGUGGAAUUGGGUUUUAAGGAAGAACUACGUGUGGCUUGAUCCCUCAGGGAGGGUACGUAGGCAGCCUAAGGUUAUUAGGUGUAGCCGCGGACAUAGACGUGAUUGUGUUAGGAGGUUAAAACCUCGUAUGUUGAAAUUGAGAAAAUUAGAUGAUGUAUGUUGAAAUUUAGUAGUCGUAAUUUAUAUUUAAAUUUAUCGUUUGCCUUGUUUAAGGCAUGAAUUGAUUUGCUAGCAUGCUUGGUAGUUGAGAAUUAUAGAAAGGCCGAAGGCCGUUUAUGUGAAUUGCAUGGAAUUAUAUUGUGCAUGCUGCCAGUUGUAGUUAUUAAAUGUGUUUUUAUGCAGGUUGAAAUUUUGGGAAAUGUCCAAUUUACAGGGGAGACUCUGCCGAAAUUUCGGCAGAAAGUCUCGGUCUUUAGUAAGUGGGCCUGACAUCGAGGUGAUGUCGGGGAAUCCACAGGAUCCGCCUCGAUUUUUGGAAAAAUCGGGGCGGUUCCUUUCAGACACAACCAGAUAAGUUCUCAUAGGCAGAAAAAUCAUUAAUUGUUCACAGUAAUACACCUAUGAGUGUAAAGUAAUCUCCUAUGUGUGCAUCAUACACUCCUUUAAUCCCAUCCCACAAAGAUUUUAAAUCAUCAAUCAGAGGCUCUAAGUAGACAUCUAUAUCAUUUCCAUUCUAUUUAGGACCAGAAAUCAAUAAGGUCAAUAUCAUGAACUUCCAUUUCAUGCAUAGCCAUGGUGGGAGAUUAUAUGUAACUAAGAUAACCAACAAUUGUAUCUGCUACUUAAAGAACUGUGGGGAUUGAAUCCAUCAGAUGAGAGAGCCAAUCUCAAGUUUCUUGGCUCUUUACUGAACUCGGGCCAUUUAUCAUCAACAAGUUUUUAAGACGGGAAAUUCGCUGGAUGAGACAUAUGACCGUCAAUUGCUUUUCUAGCAACAUGCCAAGUCAAACUCUUAGCUGUCAUAUGUGAUUGAAACAUCCUUUUAAACCUUGGAAUUGGAGGAAAAUACCACACCACCUUCGCUGGCACACUCUUUUUCAAGAUUGAAUCUUUGCAUUCCUUCCACCUUGAGAUACCACAAGUAGGACAAUUAGUUGAAUCUUCAUAAUCAUUCCUAUACAAGAUGCAGUCAUUGGGACAUGCAUGGAUAUUCUCAUAACUCAUCCCUAAAGGAGAUAAUGUCUUUUUUGCCUCGUACAUAGAGGAAUAUAGUGUCUUUCCUUCUGGAAGCAAAUCUCCUUGAAGUAUCAAUAAUUCUAUAAAACAAACAUCACUCAUCCCAUGUUUUGCUUUCAAAUUAUAUAACUUCACCAAAGCCGACAACAUCGUGUACUUACUGCAACCAGGGUACAAGGAUUGAUCUCAAUCCCCAAUCACAUUGGCAAACUCAUAAGGAUCAAAUCCAAUAUCGCCUAAAUCAUUAUCAUCCAUCCCUACUUCUUUAGAAACAAAACUGAACCUACUUUGCUCAUCUUCUUCCACAUUUCUACUAGCAUUAGUAGUCAAUUCCCAAGGUUCUCCGUGCCAUGUGCAAAUCUGAUAGCUUUAGUCAAUUCCAUUAAAGUAUAAGUGGUCCCUCAUAAUUCCAACCCCAAACAAUCGAAUAUUCCCACAUUUAACACAUGGACAACGAAUAUGAGUUGUAUUUCCAAGAUUUUCUACAGCAAAAUUCAAAAAUCCUUCCACCCCUAACUCAUAUGCCUUCGGUCUUCUAUCCGCAUGCAUCCAUGACUUAUCCAUCUCACACACUAUAAAAUCAUAUAUAUAAUAAAGUGAAAAGACCAGCAAUGAAACACUACUUUAUUCACAUAGCAAAGAAUGAAUUGAAAAAAAAAAUUAACCAAGAAUCAGACGACGGUUUUUACAAAAAAAAUCGUCCUGUAACAGAGGGUCAGACGACGGCAUAUCUAGUUAUCGACGUCUUUAAGCUACCCAAACCCAGAUAUUUGUAUUGCUUUUUGAAGAACCGGGUUCUGGGUUCUGGUAAACAAAAGAUGACGGUAAAUGGAGAAACACCGACGUAUCCUAAAACUUGAGACGACGGUUUAUUUCACCAACCGUCGUCGUAGUUUACGAAAAACAGAAGUCUAAAUCUCCCAUCCUCAUUCCUUUUCUAAGAACCCUUAACAAAAUGCAAACAUCAAAAUAUAAAAGAGCCAUAUAUAGCUCCCAAUUAAGAAACCAAAGCUACCAAAACAUAUAUUAAUAAACCAAAGCUACCAAAAUGAACGAAAACAUUUAUGGGUUUUACAAACUAAGAGAAUAUUGAGAGAGAGCUGAGAGAAUAUACUUACAUGGAUAUUGAGAGAGAGCUGAGAGAAUAUAACAAAUGCUUGAGAGAGAGCUUAGAGAAUAUACACAAUGCUUUGAGAGAGAGCGAAAAAUUUAAGACAAAUUUAUGUUGAAGAGAGAGAAGGAAAUAUUUUAGGGUUAAAGGGAAAUUCUGAAAAUUUUAGAUCACCGUCAAAAUUUUCAAAGGACCGCGUUUUUCAAAGACGGCUAAGGAAAACUACCGCCAUUGUAAAUCAUUUUACUACGACGGUUGAGGAAAACUACCGCCAUUGUAAAUCAUUUUUAUGUCGCCUCUAUAAAAACCGACGUCUAAAAUAUUAAAUAAUUAGAUUUGGUUUGCAUUUCGUGGGAUUCUAACGUGCGUAAUUGACCAAAAAGAGCGAGAGAAAACCAGCGUCGUUUCUAUAAAACCUAAACCCUAAACCCUAAACCCUAAACUCUAAAACCUAAACACUGAAAAAAUUAACCAAAAAUUGCUAUGGACUCCUUACAACAAUGCCUUCUAUAUUAGUAGGCUAAAAUCGGGAUUAAAUAAUUUUGAAUUUUAUGACCACCAAUGGAUCACAUAAACCUUAGGGUUAUGUUUAUGGAAAGUAUAAGGAUUAUUGUGUUUUGUCUCUAAAUCUUUUUUACUUUUGUUAUCACUUGUAACUUUGAAAUCUAAAAUUAAAAUUUUCAGGCCUUUAGGGGGGAGAUAUUGUCUCAAUGUGUUUAUAGAAUUUGAGACUGCGAAGGUUCUAGCUGAUUGACUAAGGAUGAGGCAGGAUGGAUGGAAGGUUUGCUUGGAGAUUCUACCUUUGUCAGCUCUUCUGGUUGACAUGUUGUUUAUUCUGCCUGAGGAACUACUUCUAGAUUUUUCCCUUUUCUAGCAGAACUAGUCUCUGGAAGUACUUGUGUGUCAUCCUUAUUCUUGAGGAAGACGCAGUAUUGCCUUUGAACUCUCCUCUUUUGCAUUCUGGUUAGCUUCAGAGUUGGUCUUCGGCUUUUUCCAAUAGAAUAUCAUCUACCUUCUAUGAUAGUUGCAAAGGGCUUGUCAUUUCCAGGCAUCUUAACUGGUAUUUCCUUCUUUGGCUGCUCUAUUAUUCUCUUGUUGCGUUGGGCAGGCCUUAAAUAGUCCUUCUGUCUGGCUCUAUCUCUAGGUGGAGCCGGAACUAGGCCUUGUUGGUAUGAUGUUCCAAUCCUGUCAAAAACACAAGGUGUGGGCUGACUUUGCCUAACCAGAGUUACCUCUAACUCACUUUCACAUUUGCACCUGUUGCACAAAACUACCCCAGCCGAAAUGGUUGCUUUUGGUCUUCAAUUAGCCUAUCUUUGGACUCUUCUGCCUAUGCUGGGGCUAACUUUUGCUGUUAGUUUGCCUUUCUUUUGUUUUGGCCAAUUUAAGUUGACCAUGUUGACUUGAGGUUGGGGAAAAGGGUCUGUUGUUAUCGAAUGAGGUUUCUCAGCCAGUUUUAGCCUCCAUGCUGUUAUUCCUUCCUGUAUGACGUCCCUGAAAACAACACAACUAUUGGUGGAAUGGUCCCAGGAGUUAUGCCAUCUGCAAUACUGUCUGCCCUUGAGUUCCUCUAGCUUGGGCAACUUGUAGGGUGUUUCUAUUGCCUUCUGUCGCAGCAUGUCAUCAAACAGGGCAUCAACCUUGGUUAAAUCGAGGGAAUAGACUUUGUUAUGAGCUGGUUUGUUUGGAACAAACCCUCUUGUGAAUGGUGGUGGCUUUUGGUCCUUUGGUGGCUUUGUUAAAGCCUUGCAACUGAUGAGAUGUUUUAAUUUCCCCAUUUCUGCCACUGCAACUUCUCUCUCCUCCGAGCUUUCUAUGCCUUCUUCUGAUUCUACCUCAACAAGAUUUACUGAAGAGGAUGGGGUUUUGUAAUAUGUGCCUUUGAAAGAGUUCCUCUUCUAUUGUUCUUCCCUGAGCAGCUCCUUGUAUUUAGAUGCUUUGUCUGCUAGUUCUGCCAGAUCUCCAAACAGCAUCCCAUCAAAUUUUUUUCUCAGAGAGAUUUUAAGGGAGAUUUGAGCCAUUUGGAUGAAGUGCCCUUCCUCCAUAGGGAUUCAAAAUUUCAUUUUGAGCUUUUUGAACCUGGUUAUGAAGUCUUGGGCAGGCUCAUCUUCCCUCUAUUUCCAGGUUUGAGGGCAGCAAGAUCACUGAUGGUGACUUCUGGCUGAAUCCUAAAAUAGUAGUCAUGGAAGACAUUUUCCAUCUAUUUCCAGGUUUGAACAGAAUUGGCUGGUAAGCUAGUAUAUUAGAUGAAGGCUUGUCCAGAGAGAGAAUUUCGAAAAAGCCUUAGUUUUAACAGAAGGUUAUUUUCUAUGGCUAUGCACUGGAAAGAGAAUCUGCCUAUAUGCUUAACUGAUGAAGCAUGGGUGUCUUCUCCGUUGAACAAGGUGAAGUGUGGUACCUUAAAGCCCAGGGAUAGAGGUAUUUGAUCGAUAUAAGCUGGAUAAGGCUUUCUGUAGGUGGGCCUUUCUCCUCUUCUGGCCUCAGGUUCCAUCAUCUCUCUGAUCAUUCUAUAAAGUGCCCCCAUGUCAUUCAAAGCAUUGACAUGAUGCGGGGUUCGCCCCUGUUCUGGCUAGUUGUGUUCAAUCCUUUGUUCUACUUUAUAUGGCCUGGGCAGAACUUCCUCCCUAUGCUCUUCCUCUUUUUCGAAAUCUGGAUGAUUCCUUUAGUUUGCCCCCGGUCUGUUUUUGUCAUUGUUGGCAAAGGGUUUAACUCCUACUCUACCUCUCAUGCCACUUGCUAGUGGAGGGAAUGGAUUGGGGUCCAUCCUUCUAGGUCUGUAGGGCAACACAACUGGUUGCUCAGGCAGAAGUGCCAAGGCCUGAUCACGUGGGGCCACUAGUUGUGGAAUAGGUGGAGGUUCUGGCUAGUUCUGAGGGGGUCUGAACUGGUGCAGAGCCUUCUGGAUGAACUGAAUCCUCAUGUUCUUGGAUGGGAAGGGCUCCUCCCCUCUGUCCAGCUUGGAUUUCUCCAUGUCCUGGUAUUCCAGCUAUCUGUGUGAUGAGAGGCUUCUCUUCAUAUGGCCAUGCCAGUCCUGGUAGAGGUCCAAAAGGGAGAUCUAGCUGCUGGACCACCAUGUCUAGGUUUGGAAUUUUGGCAAUAGUAGCCUCACGGUCCUUCCUGAACUGCCUGUUGACUUGCCAUUACAUCAUGGUUGUCAUGUUGUUUAGAGUAUCUUGGCUCAUUUGUGCUGUGGCUUCUUGCCGAAACACAGCCUCCUGUAUCUAGUUUAACCUUCUGGAACCAGACAUGGAACGUCUACUCGUGGUACUGCCAUGGGCUGAUUACCUAGCAUCACUUUCUUUUGACUCAAGUCCUUUUCGGAGAGCUGCUUGAUCUCUUUUCAUGGCAUAGCGUGGAUUCUGGCUAGAACUUCCAAUAUUCAUAUACUAGAGGAUUUUUCUAGAAAUAUAUGUAUUGAGAAGUCCCACUGGGCGUGCCAAAUUGUUCAUCCGUUUUAGAUUUGUUCCUGUGAUGGUAGGGUAAAGUUCCUCAUUGACUUGAAAACCAUUGGUGGUCAAUAAGUCAACUUUCUUUUGUGUACAAAUGUGCCACUGCUAGCAAUAAAAACCCUAGCAGACUUCUUAAAAAUAGAAAACUUGUGCCCAAGUUAUUAACUUCUAAAUAAGCGAUUGUGAAUUUGGGCGAGGAAUAUCUCCCAAGUAAGUUCUUUUCUUUGCCUCAGAUUGGUGAGGACUUCACAAUUUUUCACAGUACAAAACUGGUAGUUCUAGCUAGAAUAAAUGAUAAGAAAGUGAACUGUUUUCAGGCAGAACUACCUUUUACAAAGCUUAAAAAGGAAGACCAACUCUAAAAAGACAAAAAGAGCUUUUGGACUUCAAUUUCUGCUUGGAUAAAUGCUUCUGAUCCGGGCUGGACUGGGUAUGUUUGUGCUGGACUGGACUAUCAACACCUUCAACUGUCAAGUUUUAGCUGUCAAUGAAUACCAAUGUUCGAGUGUGGCAAAGCUUCAAUCUAUUUCAAGCCGUGCAAGGCUUUUUGAACGGACAGAAUUGGAACCUCUUCAGUCUGGAAGGGGUAGAAGUGGCUGAAUUUGGUGAUUACUGAGCUGGAACUGCACUGUAGUACCUGUUCUGCUUGAUCAGGGCUCUCCAUAAAUUUGUUGAGGUUUUAAUAUUGGUAAAACCCGAAGCUUAUGUUGAACCAACUUUGUAACGAGAGAAAUCUUGCUUUGAAUGACUAUUUCUCUGAAACUAAACAGAAGUUAGAGAUUCUGGAAUAUAGCUGACUUGUUUCUUAUGGCUCAAUGAGCUUUUGGUUGCUUCAGUGUUUUGAAGGCUUUUGAGAUCAAGUGAUCAUUUUGAGUUUUUAUUUUUGAUUGAUUUUUUGGCUGUCCUUUUAUCUGUUCACCUCAUCUCAUAUUUAUAGAAUAUACUGGAGUGUGAUUUCUAAUCUUUUAAUAAUGGGCGGCAAAUCUUUUAAAAGAUCUUUUUUUCUUUUUUCAAUGUCAUAAGAGAAGGAAGCUACUAUUCUGACAGAGAAAGGUUGUCAACAAUCAUCUUUCAAUUUUUCUAUGUUCACUUUUUGUUCUUUGUAAAGAGAAAGAACACAAUCUACCAUGAUGGUCAGUGUGCUUUUCCUGUUGAACAACUCCCUCGUUCUCUACUUAUCUCUUGAAAACGUAGUCUGCUUAUCUCUUGGAAAGACCACCUGAUUUGGUGCAGAGCUUCUCUAUAUAUAUAUAUAUAUAAAGGGAUUUUGAUCUUCUUCUUUUGGCUGAAAAAAUAGAGAAGUCUUUCUGUAAGACCUGCCUUCAUUAAUUUUCUAUCAACUUCUCUGUAAUAGUUGAAAAUUUUGACUUUUCAAAGCCAGGUAUUCACGUGGGGUUGUUUAGAAAAGAUCUGUUGAUUUUGUCAAUCUUUUAGGGUAGAGAUUAAAUAGCGUAAAAAGGCUGGGCUAGUCUCUUUUUCUUAGUAGAUAAAAAGCCCAAAUAUUUUGUCUCACUGCCCUUUUCUGGAAAAUAAAUGGGCUGGGUGUGUUGGAAAUUGGCCCAAUCUUAAGAAAGACUCUGGUGGCUGCCCAAAAUUGACAUAGGCUUUUCUUGAUUUUGGGCUGGGCAUGCCAAAUUAGGCCCAAACAAUGCCCCUUAAGUCUGAAUUGUUUUUGGAAUAGUUUCAGACUUAAUGAUUUGGCCAUUAAUUUGUGCGCGCCAUUUCCUUCUGUUAGCCCACAUCUGCCACGUCUGCCUAUUAUGAUCAAGACUUCGUGGGAAAGUGGGCAGUUACUAGCUAGUUAUUAUCAGGUGGCGUCUUGUCUUCUUCUUCCCACGAUUUCGAGUCUUUCUAAGAAAUUUAAAAAGACCUCAGCUCCUGUUUACUCAAAACCUAACUUCUUCAGACCUUGAUUUUCCUCAGUUUUCUCAGAAUUUUUACCCUUUUCUGCGAUCAAACCCUGCUUCCUUUCAGUUUGAUUCCCCUAUCCUAGCUCAAAACCCGAAAAUGUCUUCUCCAAAAAAUCGUGCCCAGACUUCUUCUUAUUCUGUUCCUCCUACCUACAUUACUGGGGCCGGUGUUGAUAAGCAUGUGAUUGAAGUCCGGAGCAAGCUUCAUCCUUUUGCCCAGAACGUUCUGGACAAGAACGUGUUACAUUUGUUCGAGAACACUCUUGUUUUGGAGCCUCAUCGGUUUGGUUCUGUCCCGACUGAAAUGGCAGAAUUGUUUAAAGAAUAUACUGAAGCUCCUCUAUGCUUUCAGAGCUCUUUCGUAGAUUUCAGUUUUAUAUAUAAACUAUCGUGUUUCUCCCUAUAACAUGUCGUUUUUAAGAAUUGUUGUCAAUGUUUUAUUUCCUGCUACUAUAAGACGGCGAUUAUUUAUACAUAUGAGACGUGUAAAUUAGAAUGAGACGUCAGUCUUUGGGAUUUAAAUUAAGUUUUUACGAUUUAAUGUCAUUUUAGUUCAUAUAAGGACAUAAAUGUCCUAACCAAAAAUAUAUUUAUGUACAUUGUCAAUAAAUUAAAAUAAACCUAAACAUUGUUAAAAUAAAUUAGAUCACUUAUUAUUCUGUAAUUACUUGUUAACGAAUUCAGCCCAUUCCAACCUGACUUCGUCAAUAUGUUCUUAUACAUACUGAACUGGUUCCUUUUUCUUAUCAAACUGCAAAUAAAUAACAAAAACCAACGUGUUAUAAAGAUUACAACGACUGCUUUUAAAGAAAAAGUUGUGGUACUAAAAUAAAGAAUUUAUAUCUUAAGUUUUGCCUUUUACCUUCUUCUCAAAUGCUAGGCCUGGAUCAUGAAUUAUAUCUCUCAUGAAAUGCAUCACGUAAUAGCCACACUCUACAUUUGUUGGUUGUCGAGGAGUGCCAUGUAGAUUUUUCCAUAUGACUGAUUUACAUGAUGAUUAAUUGCCUGUGUGAGAGUUAUACAUUUUGAUUGAACUGUUUCAAGAAAAUGAAAAGUGUUAAUGAUAAAAAUAAAAAUCUAAAGCAAAAAUAUUAAACGUCGUGGUAAAUAAGUGAAGACGAUGGUUUUGUUAAAAAAGUGAUGUUGUAUUUCAUUUCAAACGUUGGUAAAUAAAAACCGUCGUUGUGUAGAAUUCUAACGUCGGUGACGAUGAAAAAUGACGUAUAACCAAAAAUUGUUUGUAAAUGAAAGUUGAACAGAAAAAAAUAAAACUUCCUUAAAUGAAAAACACAAACGACGUGGUAUUUCAAUUAAAAUGACGGUUUACAGAAAAUACUGACGUUGUAAAUGAUUUCAAACAUCGGUUUGAAGUUACCAUCGUGUUUUCAUUGUAACGUCGGUAUUAGAAAAAGCCGUAUAUCAUUCAAAUGCAAAUAAAAAAAUGUUAGAUUUUCAUAGAUAAACUUACAUAUUCACUAUAUUUCUCAUGUCCUCGUCAACAACGCGGUUUGGCAAUGAAUCCAUGUAAUAGAUAGUCUCCUUCGCUGGUCUCACAAUUAUUAACACCCAAUGACCCCUACACAUAAUGAUCCAUAUAGGUUAAAUAUACUAGAAAGAAAAAUAGGCAUCAAGUAUAGUUAAGGGGACUAACCUUGGAUUACAAGGCACCAUGUAAAAUUGAUCCCCAUUUGCGUUUUUCAGGCGGUCUGAGAGAUGUUUCAAACGGUAAGAUAACGUUCCAGAUUGAGAGCUGACUUGUCCAAGGUCCACGAAGCCAAUAAGGUUUACCAUAUUUUCUAUUUUUAAAUAGUCAAAUAGGCACCUAAAUAUAUGAAAUUCAAUUAAAUGAGAUUUUAACUUUAAAGAAAGGAAAUGUAUAAUGCAAUCACUGUGGAUCCAAUCUCAACCAUGGAAGGAAAUUGUAAAAUAUCUUCACACAAGAGGAAGGUAUCAUGGUUAAUGCCAAAGGCUUCCUCUGGAAUGUGAAUUCUAAUGGUCUCGUUAAUGGGCUUCAACUUGGUCUCGACAAAUUGAAAUAAGGCUAACAGAGGAGGUGGCAUGUCUAGCUUUGAGAGAUCCUGUUACAACAAAUAAAUAAAGAAAUAUAAGUUAGUUUGUACACUAAGUAAAAUAAACGACUCUAACUAAACCAAUCAAACCGACGUGGUAUAUAAUAUAAUCGACAGUUUCUAGAACAUACUGAAGGAGUAAAGGUUAUAGACGACGGUAAAGACAUAACCAUCGUUAUGUAAAUGUUCUAACGUCGCUGCAUUAUGGAAAGGUCGUCUAAUUAAAAUGCAGUGAAGCCUUUAUUGAAAUACACGACAGUUUAUAAAAUAAACACCGACGUAGUAAAAUACUGAGACGACGGUUAUCAGCAACGUCUAUUUGAAAUUAUAAAUCAGAAAAAAUCAAAUAUCAAAGAUUUUACCGUUUCAUCUUGCCAUUGUUUAGCAACAUCAGCAUCAUUCGUGGGAUUUUCUUCCUCCAAAACAAGGGGUCUCACAUUAGAGCAGCUUGCUUUGUCAGACAUUAGAUUUUUUGGAGUAAUUGGAGUUUUAUUGAGCAAGUUGGGAUCACAGUUGGGAAUUAGUUGACUGAAUUGUUUCAAUAAAAUUUCCCUCUCUGCUCUGACUGCCUCCAAAACAGUUUCUUUUGCCUUAGCUUUAAUCUUUUUGGUUUCUUCUCUCACUGCCUCCAUAACACUUUCCUUCAAUUUGUUAGCAAAUUUUACUCUCUGCUGUCUCGACAAAUUGAAGAAUUGAGUUGGGGAAACCCCAGCUCCAACACCUCUAACUCUCCCACCAUGCUCAGGGGUUCCCAAAGCCAAGGUCAAAAUAUCGUUGCUCUCAGAGACAGCAGAGUGCCCUCGGAAACUUGUUUUUUCAAAUCAUCCUAAAAGUGAGAGAGAGAGAGAGAGAAUGUUAGUGAGUGAACAGAUAGUAAAACAGAUUAAAUAAACAACUAUACAAAAAUAUUAACCGACGUGGUAAAGACUUUAAAAAACUGAAAUCAAUCCCCAAUAGUAACAGGGACCAUGCAGCAACGAUUUGGUUGACAGUAGUAUAGGUUGGAGAUGCUGUUGAUCAUUAGAUACUAUUUUUUUAAAUAUCAAUUCUGUAACAUCCAGACCUAAAAAAUUAAUGAUUUUGAUUUAAAAUUAAAUUUAAAUAAGCAAUUACGAAUUUACCCUUGGGGAAGGGGUAUUUUGGUAUUUUUUUUUUAUUCAGAAAGAGUUUGGGGCAGUGACUAGUAUUUUUGGGUAGAUCGUACUGAGACGAAUCCGUAGACACGCGGUAGGCCUGAAUCGGAGUUGUAACGAAGAAACGGUGACCAAAAUUAGUCCAGUGGCAAACUUGUAAAUAUUUUGAACUUGGGUGUAGAAAAAUCUGAAACUGGCUUCCUCUCUCCUGCGUGCACACGUCCUUCUCUCUCUCUCCUCUCUCUCUCCUCGAUACCAUCACUCUCUGUCUCUCUCUUCGAUUCUCUCAAUUCUGGCCACGGCAAGGGCCGGGACUGGUUCCGAUCAACUCCUCACAAAGCCCCGAACCAGAACCACCACUUUUCUUGGCCGGAAAGCUCGAGUUUCGCGUGGUAAUCUCGACUGGUUUGAACCAGUUUUCCUCCGUCAUUGUGCCGCCGCCAUCGCAGCCCAAUCUCGGUUAAACAAGUGAGGUUUCUUACUCUUUUUCCGAGCUCUAGCUGCCUGUUGGGUAGGAUUGGAUUGAUUUUUUGUCUAGGAUCCCGAUUUUGAAACCUAAGUUUUGACGAAUUUCAAAGUGAAAUUCCGGCCGGUUGCCGUCCUAAUUAGACCUCCCCGUAGUUGAAUAAAGUGAUCCUCGCUUCGAGUAGUAGCUAAGGUAGGAAUGGUGAAUUGCGGUGUGGAGUUUUUCCAUCACUGAAAAUUACUCUACACAUCCACGCGUUGCCAGGGCAUGUGGAGGCGCAUGGGCAAUGUGGUGAGACCACAUUUUAUCCUGAUGUAGUCUCCUAGUCCUCACGUGCGCGUAAGUGUGCUCGAAUUUCAAUUCGAAUGUUGUUUGACUAUCGAACGGAUUUAUGCAUAUUGUUUCUUAUCCGGGUUCAAUAUGUUCGGACCAUUGGAUCGAGUCCAAAUUUACGUAUGUUAAUCUAGGCACCCCUAGGAUCAUGUGCGAAUUCGCGGAUCGUGAAUCGGAGCCCCGAAUGUUCCGAUUCAAUAAUUUGAAGUUUAUGGUUUGCGAUAACCGUCAAUUUCUGACCAAACCUACAGGACGUGUUUCCUAAACCCGUAGUCGGACCUUAGAAUACUCGUUAUGCGUGCACGCACCGGGAACUUGAGAAAAUUAGUAUUUAAUUUGUAAAUUCCGUUUUGAAGUGAUUUUUUAUUAAUUAAGGGUGCGUAUCUCGAAAUAGGUGCUCCAUCACUAGCACGCAGCAGGUAGGACCCUCUUGAGGUCAGGCAGUGUGGGACUACUUGUGAGUGGACAUUUAUUUUAUAUAUGCAUUAUUUUCAAUGAUUGAAAGAAUAUGCAUGAAAUAUAUAUAUUUUUUGGAAUAAAGAUUGAGAAAUUCAUAUGUUGUUAUAUCAGUAUUAUUUAAUUUAGAAUUUGGUUUGAUUUGAUGAUGAGUUAUAUAAAGGUCAAGUUAUUCGUGAUUAAGUCUUGGAUGAAUUUUGGGGGAAUCGGGAAUUGAAUAUUAUGGUUUAUGGUGGGAACUUAUAUGAUUACACUGUGUGGAGUACCAUCCCCUAGUUACUAGGCUUCCCACAUGUGGCGUUGGAAAUUUUCCAGCGUGUGAUGAUGUAGUCUGCACGCAUAGGACUUAGUAUUGGAGCUACACGUGGCGUUGGAAUUUCCGGCAUGUAAGCUAUGGAGUUUCGUCCCCCGGUUGGACCGCUCAUCCCUAGACGCAGGAUAGCAACUGAAAAUCUUGCGGGUUAGCCAAACAAUCCCCCGGUUGGAUUGUUUCCCCGGUACCUAAGUAGUGUGAUAAAUAUUAUGUAUAUUUAUAGAUAUAUAUAUUUCUAUGUGUGUGUGUGUGUGUGUGUGUGUGUGUGUGUGAGUAUAAAUCAGUUAAAGUAUAUGUAGUGGUUGGGUAAGAGCAGUAUAAAUUUUGGGGAUAAAGUUUAUGGAUAGAGUGAUUGAUCUCAAAGGGUUUCGGAGAAUGAUGUUUUUGAUCAUUAAAUAAAAGUUAUGAAUCUGCAUGUCUUGAGCAUUAUUUUUAGACGGUGGGGUUAUUAUGUUGUUUUGAAUGCAAAUUUUGUUUUUCCACUCACAUGUUUUCUGUUUUGCGCCCCCCAAACAGUAGUCGCUCAAGGGAGAGUUGCAAGCCAUGUUCGAGGCCCCGAACUGUGAACAUCAGUAGAUUAGGUUUCGAGUAAUUUCUUUCUACUCAACUGGAUGUUCUUGUAAACUAAAUUCGUUAGAUGCUCUAUUAUUGCCCCUGUUAGGUUUUACUUGUGAGGCCAGAGGCCAUUUAGUUUAUACUGUUGAAUAAUAAAUGCAUGCUGCUGGUUGGGAUUAUAUUGUGCUUAUGCAGGUUGAAAUUUUUGGGAUUGUUCAAUUUACAUGGGAGACUCUAGCAAAAUUUUAGUAGAGAGUCUCGGUUUUUAAUAAGUGGGCCAGGCAUCGGGGUAAUGUCGGAAAUAAGACUGGAUUCGUCCCGGUUUCCGAAGAAUUCGAGGCGGGUCCUGUCAAGUUCCUCCUAUUAACAAUAAUAAAUUAAAUAUUUAUAUAACUGAUAACAGUUCCUCAUAUUAACAAUAAUAAAUUAGUAUUUUGUAUAAUAAACAUGUUUAAUGAAAUUCAUCUUCUUCUAGCAUGUUUAUUUAAAUUCUAAGUUUUCUGAAGAAAAAAAAAAAAAAAAAGGAGAAGGAAAUGUCCUAAAUUAAAUCUUAAAAGUUCAUUUUUUUCUGUCCCUAUAUAUUUUUUACCCAAUUAUAAUUUGAGAAAAAAAGGUGAAUUAACUGUCAUUUCACCUUCAUCAUUUUCAUGAUUUAUAUAAGAUUCUUCAAAGAUCAUUUCCACAAAAAAUUACUUAAAUUCGAAUCCAUUUAACCGUCUAAUUAAAUCGUUAGGACCGUUGAAAUAAAAUUUAAAGUGAGUUUAAAGUGAGUCCUACUAUGUCUCCCUCAAAUAAGAUCAUUUACAGGAUCUGUCGAGUCAUAUGAGAAUGUUUAGCUUUUCGAUCCCAAGAGUUUGGUUCGAUUUUCAUAUAUAUAUAUAUAUAUAUAUAUAUAUAUACAAGUCAAUUUACUUUAAAAAGUUCACCAAAUUUUAUUUUUGGUCUCGGUAGUUUGCUUGAGGGCCUUUUUCUGUCAAUCUAUUUGUUGUGAUUGAAAGAUUUUAUAUAAAACAAAAGAUAUGUUUUUAUCUUAAAAAAUGCUUAUUUUCAGAUCUUUACAUAUAGACAUACAUAUGGCCUGAGAAUUCAAGCAAUAAAGACAUAAGCUGAUGAGCAUUCAUAAUCAUUAGAAUGAGUACUGAAUGGUCAACUCUUUCAAAAUACUUCGGAAAAAAACAAAGGACAAUACUUCCUUCCUUACUCAUAAGAAGGAACUCCUUCUCACCUUCUAUUGUCCCUCAACCACAAAGUAACAAGUGUUCUCUUUUUUUAAUUGUCAAUUUUUUUUUUUUCACUUUUACUGAACCCCUAGCUUUUUACCAAAGCAAAAAACACAAAACAAUAUUCCCAUUGUUUUUUUUUUUCAUUUUGAUUUUUUUCUCAACUUUUUGAAAAAUAACAUUUUUCCUUCUUCAGUAAAAAAUUGAAGUCUUUGUGGUUAAAAGCUAAGGUUUCAGUAAAGGUUUAAAAUAAAUAAAAAGUUUUGACAAUUCAAAAAACAGAACACAUAUCACUUUGUGGUUGAGCCGCAAUAGAAAGUAAGAAAGAAUUCCACCUUACCCAUAAGGAGGGAAGUAUUGUCAAAAAGAAAACAUCUUAAAAAACACACAGAAAACCCACCAUCACUACUUAAAAGAAGUAGAGAAGUCCAACAUUCUGAUUUUUAUACACCUACGUGACGUGAGCAUUCAAUAAUCAUCCUACACAUAUGUUGAUGUGAGCAUUCAAAAUCAUUAGAAUGAUUUAAUUGAAGACUCAACGUACGGACGUCUUUUUCACUUAGAUUCCCUUCCUGUACAAACUUGAAUCAGUUCCUCCACGACCCCAUCAAUCUCUUCAUCCUCUUUCUUGUUCACGUUGUCGCUUAUUUUCAAUGCCUUUUUUCUCACUCCCUCUCCAAAUUUCUCCACAACCACAUCUCUAAUCACCUUUGCGACCUCUUCUCUUUGCAAACUUCCUUCACCUGUUCUCUUAACCUCCACACCAACACCCACCUCCUCCACUAGUCUAGCGUUGAUCGGCUGGUCAAGAUGCAUAGGCAUGGCUAUAAUUGGAACACCAAACUUGAUGCUCUCCAACACUGAGUUCCAUCCGCAGUGACUCACAAACCCCCCAACACUAGAAUGCUGCAGUAUCUUUGCCUGUGGGGCCCAACCCUCCAUUAUCACUCCCUUCUCUCCCACCCUCUGUAAAAACCCUUCUGGUAACACCUCUUCAACCCUAGUACUUCUCUCCUCCUUAGAAAAUCUUAUAACCCAAAUGAAGCUCACUUUGCUAAGCUCUAAUCCGUGAGCUAUCUCUUCUAUUUGCUCCUUGGACAGAAAGUACUCACUGCCAAAGCAAACAUACACAACAGAAGACCUUUCCAUUUUGUUCAGCCAUUUCAUGAUCCAUGUUUCCUCAUCAACUUUUUGAUCCAUUGGCUCUUGAACAAGCGUGCCAACAGGCACGAUCUUCUUCCCCGUUAAAUCAGAGAGAUAAUCAAUAUAUUUUUCUUCAAUCUCGCUGGAUGUCUUGACCAAAAUGAUGUUACAAGAUCGAGCACUGCAUUGCUGAACACGGUCUCCGUCUUUGAUGCCAUUUGCUGAAGAUUCCAACAAAUUGUUGAACUUUUCAGCUUCGUAAUGUUGAAGAUAAAUCGAAGGAAAAGGAAACUUGACACUAGGGUUCUUGAGAUGUUGAAUACUAAAUGAAGUAAAGGCAGCACCCAUGGUGGUGAAUUCAAUGGAUGGAAAAUUUUGCAAUGAAGCUAGAGAGGGCGCCCAUGGUUGAAGAACAUCAUAUAUGAGCAAAUCUGGACUUAGGGUUUUGAGGAUGUUGGAGAAGUUGUUGCUGGACAUGCUGAAAGCCGUUUUGAGAGUGGACAUGAGAUGGGGAGGGAGGCCAUUGGUGGUGUGGUAGUGCGGUGGGAGUUCAGGCAAGUCAUCAUGUGGAAGAUGGAGUUCCACAAAUUCAAUGCAAUGAGAAUAUUUUUGGGAGAGUUUAGGCUUGAUGGAGCUGAGAUUUACAGGCGUGGAACAAAUAAAGAUGUGAAAAUUUCUCUUGGUGGUCAGCUUCUUGGCUAGCUCUAGGUAGGGAGAUAUAUGGCCGUGAGCUAGCCAUGGAAGCAAAAGAAUAGUAAGGCUUCUUUGGUCAGAGAAAACCAUAUUUUGUUUUCCUUUGACUUGUUUUCCUUUGACUCUUUUGCUUGAGGUUGCUCGAUUAUAGGCUUAUUGGUAGUUUGUUUGUGGCUAGCUCUAUGCAUAUAUAUAUAUAUAUAUAUAUAUAUAUAUAUAUAUAUAUACACACACAAAAACGCGUGAUGAUUGGAACAUGCACACGUAAGUUCCAGAGAGUGAUGAUUGGCCUAUGAUAAAGACUCGAAACAAGAAUAGUUUAAAUUUUCUUCUUUGUUUGGCUUGAUAUAAGACGAAUGCACCAAACAAACCGACUAAAUGCCGACACAAUAAUUAGGUACGUAAUAAUAUCAACUUUCAUUAUAUAGAUCUGAGAAACAAAAAGUUGAACUUUGAUGACAAGCGAUAUUAAGGAAGGGCACAAUCGAACUUAGGAUCUCGAAUGUUGAAGUACAUGCUCUUAACAACUUGAGCUAUAAGGUAUUUGUAAUGACAAUUUAUGGUUUUAAUUAUACUUUUGAAUAGUUGCUUCCUUCUCUUUCAUUUUUAUUUUUAUUUGUUUAUAUUUAACUCUAAUUUUAUUUAUAUUUCUGGUCAAGGUAUAAAGACUUUGAAUCUCUCUCCAAUUAUUUUUCACAGCCGAAACUCCUUUAGUUUCCACAAAUCUUUUUAAACAUUUCAGGCAUAUGUAUGUUUCCGAGUCGGAUGGUUCACGUAACCAAGAAAUUUAAACUUGUUUUUGUUUGUUCCUCCGAAGAAAGCACAACAAAAGGACAACCUACAACCAAUACUUCUCAUUGAAUUUGUUGCCGUGAAUGAUUAGGACUCUGCCCAAACUAGUAGUUGCGUUUCUGAAUUGUUUGAAAACACAUAUCAAAUUAUGAUUUCUCCUCCCCGAAAGAAAAAUUGACGUAGAAGUAUCAUGAUCUUGAUGACACAAAUUAGAAUCUAGGGUUUUCGAAGUGCCUAAUGGACAACUACUUAUUUAGAAAUAUAUAUAUUUUUGUGGCUAAAAUUUAAAUUUAUUAUAUAUAUUCUCAAUGCAGAAACACAUAAAUCUAAGUUCGAAUUCAUCCUUUUUUUGUUUUUUUUUUUUUGUUUUUUUAACCCAGAAGAAAAAUUGAGUCCCACUCUGCUGUGUAGAAUGCGCGUUUAGUAUAGAUUUUUUUAUUUUUGAGUCUCUUAUCUGGUUCCCGAGCUUCUACAUUUAGGUCUCGUGUAUUUAUCUGCAUUUUCUUAAAUCUAAAUCACUCAAACAAUCUAACCACUUAACAAAUGACACGUACUCAAACUUAAAAUCAGAAUGGAUGGAGUAGAGGCUUACACCGAUGAUUCUUGGUCAAGACUUGAGAGACAGAUGGAGACGAGGCAUGACAUAAAGUCUGAAGAAGAGAAACGAGGAAGCUUCAUUUAGAUGGUGGUGUAAGUGCAUACGUAAAGUCCAGAUUCAACAGGAAAGCAUCUUAAACGUAAAGAAAAUAAGUUUACCAGAAGCAAAAGAGAUACUGAAGUAAUUGUUUAUCAACUGAACUUAAACGAAAUAUUAACUCUUUGUUGUGCCAUAAGCACAAGAUCUUAUGAAAAAAAAUUCAAGAUAAACCAUAUAAUAUUGGGAGAUUCACGUUUAUACCGAAUAUAGGAAUUCAAAUUAUAAAAUAAAUAAAUAAAUAAAAUAAUCGAUAUGAAAUGGACUUUAGAAACACACACAAAGCCUAUUUACAACAUAACAAAAAGGUUUUUCCCUUCUUUUAAAUUACAAAACUGCCAUUGAUUUCUUAAAACAAACCCAACUCCAAAACCUCAUUAAAAAAGCACAAAACACUCAAUAGGGUGUCAAAGUAAUUUAAUAAUAAAAAAUAAAUUCAAUAAGGCCAAUUGAAUUUUUUGGAUUUUUUUUUGGGUUUGUUUAUAGAAAUUAAUGGUGUAGGGUUUAUCUAUAUUAUUGGUGUUAAGAAUGAAUAAUGACUAAAUAUCUCUAUAAUAUUUUCUAACUCACAAAAUAAUAUAGAAAAUAAAUGCAAGAACAAGAAAAUAGCAAUAUGCAAUUUAACGAAGCUGCUUACAAUCAGUGCAAAUGAGCAAACAAAUUCGCUAUUAAUUUAUGAAGUGUUUUUGUAUUUACAAUACCGCCUCUUGAAUGUCCACCAUACAAUAAUAUAGUUGCAUCAUUAAAAACUUUACUUGAAAAAUCGUUUGGGACAAAACUUAAGCUAAGAGAAAAAGAGUGCAACACAAAUGAUAUUGACAUCACAUAUGUCUCUCCUACAGAGUGAGCUUUGGUGAUGCUUGUAUAAAAAUUGCUUUCACAUCAUUAUUGGGAGAUGUAUGUAUGUCAUCAAUCAUUUGAAUCUUGUUGAGGUUAAAGUAAAACCAAAAAAAUAUCAAGGGCCAUUUUCAUAUAGUUUUUCACAAUAAAAAUUAACAAAAUAACUUCAUGUUCUUUAAUAUCAUCAAAAAAAUAAUAUAAACAAACUCAUAGUUUACCUUUUCAAUGAUAAGUGUUUGGAAAAUUUACAUGGAAUAAUAUUUGGUAUGCUAUGCUAGCAUCUCAUAAGCUCUUCAAGAGACCUAAAUUUUAUGAUAACUUCUUAAAAAAAUUUGAAUACUUUUCAACAAUAUUAAACUUGAAUUCAAACUCAUAAUUCAAUCAAAGUACUCAUUGAGGCAAUUUAGAUCAUUUUCAUUUUAAGAAAAUUGGGUGCAUACAUUGAGCUUCAUGCCCUUUACCUUCUUAGAGAUUUUCUUCGAGCAAUUUAUAUUGCAUGACAGAUUAUAUCUCUUAGAAUUUGUUCUUAUGUAUUCUUCAAGAGAUCUCUUCUUGCAAUAUGCUUCAAACACUUCAUAAUCUUUAUAGAUUUUUCAUGUAGAUUUAAGGUCUCCAUGAAUAUUGAGAUUGAAACAAGGAGUAAAAUAAAAGUUUAAGAAAAAUUUUCCCUGAUUAUUUUGUAAUUAUAAUGUUGGUGAAAACCUAAUUUCCUUUCUGAAAUUUGUGAAAUUUGUUAUUUGGCUAAGCUAAAAGUAUAAUAUUGACAAUAAAACGUAUACGAAAGUUUCUCUUUGGCUGGCUUCUUGGCUGGCUCUAGGAAGGGACAUUGCGGCCAUGAGAUAACCAUAGGAAGCAUAAUAAGAAUGCUUGGAUGCUCUGAACAAUCCAUUUUCUGACUCUUUUUCUUGAGGCGGUUGUUUUCUUAGGCCCAUCAGAGUUUAUGGUCGACAGAUAAGCUUCAAACACAUGCAUUGGUCGUGUCAGUUGCGAUAAACUCUUCCCAACAAUCUGAGACUCACAUCACUCCAAACACAUAAAAAGAAGUGGAAAUUUGCUAUUCUUUGUCUUUGUUUGGACAGCUAAUAGCAAAGCAUUGGAAACAUCGAAAAAAGAAAGUUAAUUAAUUUAAGAAAAACAAAGAAAUCCUUCUUUUUUUUUCUUUUUUUUUUCAGCAAACCGAAACAUAAAAUCCGAAAAAGAAGAAGGCAUGUCCAAAAUUACAUCUUGAAUUUAUUUUGGAGAUUCACUAUUAUACUCAAAUUAUAUAUGAAAUAAAUUUUAGAAACACACAUGACGCCAAUUUACAAUAUAACAAAAAAACUUUUAACUUCUUGUAAAUUACAAAAUUGUUAUCGAUUUCUUAAAACAAGCCUAAUCCUAAAACCUCAUAAAAAAAAAAUCAAAACACUCAAUAAGGCAUCAAAGUAAUUUAAUAAUUAAAAUUAAAUUUAAUAGGGUCAUCUGUCAUUUUUUGGAUUUUUUUCGAAGUUGUUUAUAAAAAUUAAAAUAAUGUAUAGUUUGUUUAUAAAAAUUAAAUGAUGUAGAGUUUCUUUAUAUAAUUAAUGUUAAUAAUGAGUAUAUGAAUAAAUGUCACUUUUCUUUAUUAACCAUUUAUAAUAUAUGAACUCAAGACUUCCUAUCGAACACCGAAUGGUCUUUCCAUUCCUUGUUAAUUCAAAGUCUGAAAAUGUUCGGUGUCAGCUCAUGAAUUUAAAGGCUUAAAGGCUCAAAACUUGAACGAAUAUGAAAGAAAAAAGUCGUUCACCGUUCAUCCUCUUCCUGCAGCUGUGCAUGCUAAUCACCCACUGAAUUAAACAUACAAAUACGCUUUAUGUUUUCUCAAAUUGUUCUUUGAACUAAGUAGAGGUUGGAAUACACUCGGGGUCAACAUUGUUCAAAUACAAAACACUUCUUAAUUUUAUAUUUUAUCAAAACAGAUCGAAACUUCAUUCAAACUGAGAACCUAGAUUACAAAACUACCAGAAAAACUGGAAUCUGCACUGUGGCCUCAUUAAAACCUUGCUUUAAAAAACUCCUAAAAGAGGAGAAUUCAGUCAAGAAAAAAGAGUACCACAGCAAGUGAAAUCCGAUAUCAUACUUCAUUCCUUUCUCAUACAAAGUUGAAUCAACUGCUCUACCACCCCAUCUAUCUCUUCAUCCUCUCUCUUUUUCAUGUUGUCUCUCAAUUCCAUUGCCUUUCUUUUCAAACCCUGUCCAUUUUCUUCCACCACCACAUCUCUGAUUACUUUUGCUAUCUCGUCCCUUUUCAGCCUCCCGUUCUCGUUGCCGCCUCCUCCCAUUCUCUUAACCUCCACACCAACUCCAACGUCCUCUACUAUUCUAGCGUUAAUAGGCUGGUCAAGAUGCAUAGGCAUGGCUACAAUUGGAACGCCAAACUUGAUGCUCUCCAACACUGAGCUCCAUCCACAGUGGCUCACAAACCCACCAGCACUAGAAUGCUUCAAUACUUUUGCCUGUGGAGCCCAACCAUCCACUAUUAUUCCCUUCUCCCCCACCCUCUCAAAAAACCCUUCUGGUAAUACCUCUUCAACCCUAGUACCUUUCUCUUCCUUAGGAAAUCUUAUAACCCAAAUAAAACUCACUUUGCUAAUCUCUAGCCCAUGAGCUAUCUCUUCUAUUUCCUCCUUGGAUAAAAAGUACUCACUGCCGAAGGAAACAUACACCACCGAAGAUCUUUCUCUAGUGUUUAGCCACUUCAUGAUUUUUGUUUCCUCCGAAUCCACUUCUUGCUCUAUAAGGUCUUGAACAAGUGAACCAACAGGCACAAUCUUCUUCCCAAUUAGAUCAGAGAGAUAAUCAAUAUAUUUUGCUUCAAUCUCUCUAGAACUCUUAACUAAUACGAUCUUACAAGAACGAUCGCUGCACUGCUUAGCACGGUCUCCAUCACUGAUGCCAUUUGAUGAAGAUUCUAACAACAUCUUGAUCUUACUAGUCUCGUAAUAGAUUGAAGGAAACGGAAAUUUGACACCAGGUUUCUCGCCAUGGUGGGUACAAACUGACAUCAUGGCAGCACUGGUUGUGAAGAACUCGAUGGCUGGAAUGUUUUGUAACAAAGCUAGAGAGGGUGCCCAUGGUUGAAGAAAAUCAUAAAUUAGCAAAUCCGGGUGUAGGGUUUUGAGGAUGUUGGAGAAGUUAGGGCUUGCCCUGUCGAAGGCGGUUUUGAGAGUGGACAUGAGGUGGGGUGGGAGGCCAUUGGUAGUGUGGUAAUGAGGUGGGAGUUCAGGCAAGUCGUCAUAUGGAAGAUGUAGUUGCACGAGUUCAAUGCAACGAGAGUAUUUUUCAGAGAGUUGUGGCUUGAUGGAUCUGAGAUUUACAGGUGUGGAACAAAAAUAGAUGUGAAAAUUUCUGUUGGUCAGCUUCUUUGCUAGCUCUAGGUAGGGAGAUAUGUGUCCAUGAGCUAACCAUGGAAACAUAAGAACACUGAAUUUUCUUUGCUGAGAAGAAUCCAUUUUUUCAGACUCUCUCCAUUCAGGUCGUUUGUUUUAUAGAUCUAAUAAGUGAGAUGAAAAGAUGACAAAAUAUAUACAGAUGAGUCAUGUGAAUCUAGGUUUUUUCUUCGUAGUCAGAAGAGUCGUGCGUAAGUGCAUGCGUGUAUACAAGACAAAAGACAUACGUUAGACUUCUUUAUCUUCGUUCGUGCUGAUAUAUAUUAAGAAACAGACCCUUGCAACUCUAAUAUCCUAGACAAAAAUUCAAUUUUAAAAACUGAUGCUAUGUCCUGUGUUUUCCUAAACAAUCCCUAUUUUCUGUAGUCUUUCAAUUAUUCUAAAUUUGCUCAACAUUCAAUAUAACAUCAAUUUCUUAUAAAUCCCUGAACUUUCUCUAGCAUUCAAAAUUUUAAAACAUUCUCAAAGUAAUUCGGCUUCAAAGGAAUGGUAAACUUAGUAAUGGCUUCUUUUCCCCUUUCACGAUGCAGUGGCUGAGAGUUCUGAGAACGGAAGUUGUAGUUGGGUGACUUUGAUUCUUUUUAGCUGAUGCCUACUGCUUGAAUGAAAUGGAGCAAAGAGGUCAUCAGUACUUACACUGCUACUAGGAGGGUAAGCUUGAUUAUGUGUAUACUAUAACUUUAGAGUUUUGGUAUUUGGAAUGAUGAUAAUUUCAAUGUUACAUUUAUUUUGUUUACUACACUAUGUUUCUUUGUUGAACUCAAAUGUCAUGCUGAUAAAAAGAAAUAUAUUGUUGUAUGAAAUUGAAUCAAUAAGGAAAUUGACUGAGAUUUAAAAAUAAAAUUACACAGACACAGCAUGCAAUAUUAAUGCAAUAUUAAAUCUGUGUUAAAUAAUGUAGGACAGAUAGAUUAGCUGAUCGAGGAGCAGCUGGAUAAGCCCGUGCAUGUCGUUGUGCCAGAAAAGCCCAAUUCGUGCAAGUAUGGGCCCUGAACUCUUAAUUAGGCUAUGAUCUGUCAUUUUGAAGAGAACGGCGUGACAAGUGCAACUCACUGCUGUAUUGUGACAUACGGACUAUUUUAGUCAAAUUCUAUCAUUUACAUUGCAUUUUCAGCAUUUAAAGUUUUUUAAAAAAUUUGGAAACUUUUGUUAUUUUCCUUUUUUGUUUUCUAAUUAGCUUUCUUAGCAAGUCUAGGGGUUCUCUUGUAUAAAAGGAAUGCAUUGGAGCAUCCUAAACUAUUCAGUUUAUUAUCAAUCAAAUACUUUUGAGUUAUACUAAAUUUCGGAUGGAUCCGGCAUGUUACUUGCAGGGUUAUCAUUCGAUCUCCUUAUUCCCUAUAUCUCGCUACGUCAGCUGUCAUGGCCAACUGGGGAAGUCGUGUAAUGGAUAUCACUUAUGGUGUGCACCAUGUGUAGUAAAUAGUUGUCCAAAACCUUUCCCGCAGCUCUAGUGCAAGGGUGUAUUGUGUGCACGUUUGAGGCGUGCAUAUAGGUUCCGUAAAUUUCAUGAGCUUUUUAUGGCUAGUUCUUUCGGGAAGUGCAUAGGGAGUGAUCAACUUCUUGGUCACUAACCUGUUUGAUAUUCUUAGUAAUGGGGUGUUAGUUGGAUUGACUUAGACUUUUAGUUUGCUCUCAAGUGGUCCCGAGUUGAAGCCCCCACGGUAUCCGUGUGUGUGAAUUUUCCCCUUCCCUUUCCUAAUUUAACAACAACAACAAAAAAUACUUAUUUGAUAUCCUGGUUUAUUUAUUUAUUCUUUUUUAAAAAAAAAUUUAAAACUUUUUUUAUUAAAAGGGGUAAUAUCAUACUAAACUCACACACACUACAUAGAUGAUAGGACUUGAAUUCACCAUAAUCGUUUUUUAGGAGCAAUUACUUAUGGUAAACAAUUACUUCAAACCACUACACUAGUAGUCAUUAGCGGCGUUUUAUAUUCUUGCACAAGCUAUGUGGUCACUAAUAUUUUGUGUAUUAAGGGCUUGUGGUGUUUCAAUGUUGAUAAAAAUGCCAAAUCAGAAUUCAAUACAAGAGUACAACCACCUAAAGGAUAGCAAUGAACAGAUACUAUUUUAUCCACACAAAAAAAAGUUUAUCUGAUAUGAGCAUUAUUCAAAAUCAUUAGAAAAUGAGUACUGAAUGCUAAAAAGACGCUAAAACGUAGAGUCAAAGCCAACAUUCACAUGAUCGGCCAUCAGAUACGCUUAGCAUUCAAAAUCAUUAAAAUUAUUAUUGAAGUCUCAACUCCUUUUCACUUAAAAGUAGAUAUUUGUUUCCCUUCUCCUACAAAUUGCAUCAAUUCCUCCACGACCCCAUCUAUCUCUCCAUCUUUGUUUUUCAUGUUGUCUCUUAAUUCCAAUGCCUUUUUUCUCAUGCCCUCUCCAAUUUUCUCCACAACCACCUUUCUGAUCACCUUCGCCAUCUCUUCUCUUUGCAAAAUUCCUUCUCCUGUUCUUUUAACCUCCACACCAACACCCACCUCCUCUACUAAUCUAGCGUUAAUUGGCUGGUCAAGAUGCAUAGGCAUGGCUAUAAUUGGAACACCAAACUUGAUGCUCUCCAACACUGAGCUCCAUCCACAGUGACUCACAAACCCACCAACCCUUGAAUGCUUCAAUAUGUUUGCCUGCGGAGCCCAACCCUCCACUAUAAUUCCCUUCUCCCCCACCCUCUCUAAAAACCCUUCUGGUAACACCUCUUCAACUCUUUUACCUUUCUCUUCCUUUGGAAAUCUUAUAACCCAAAUAAAGCUCACUUUGCUAAGCUCUAACCCAUGAGCUACCUCUUCGAUUUGCUCCCUGGACAAAAAGUACUCACUCCCAAAGCAAACAUAAACAACCGAAGACCUUUCCCUUUUGUUCAUCCAUUUCAUGAUCCAUGUUUCCUCAUCAACUUUUAGAUCCAUUGGCUCUUGAACAAGCGGACCAACUGGCACGAUCUUCUUCCCCAUUAAACCAGAGAGAUAAUCAACAUAUUUUGCUUCAAUCUCUCUAGAUGUCUUCACCAAAAUGAUGUUGCAUGAUCGAGCACUGCAUUGCUGAACGCGGUCUCCGUCGUUGAUGUCAUUUGACGAAGGUUCUAACAGAUUGUUGAACUUUUUAGCUUCGUAAUCUCGAAGAUAGAUCGAAGGAAAAGGAAACUUGACACGAGGGUUCUUGAGAUGGUGAACACGAAGUGAGCUCAAGGCAGCACUGGUGGUGAUGAACCGGACCGAUGGAAUAUUUUGCAACGAAGCUUGAGAGGGUGCCCAUGGUGGAAUAAAAUCAUAAAUGAGCAAAUCUGGCUUUAGGGUUGUGAGGAUGUUGGAGAAGUUAUUGCUGGACAUGUCGAAGGCCCUUUUGAGAGUGGACAUGAGAUGAGGAGGGAGGCCAUUGGUGGUGUGGUAAUGAGGUGGCAAUUCAGGCAACUCUUCAUGUGGAAGAUGAAGUUCCACAAAUUCAAUGCAAUGAGAGUAUUUUGGAGAGAGUUUUGGCUUAAUGGAGGUGAGAUUGACAGGCGUGGAACAAAUAAAGAUGUGAAAAUUUCUCUUAGAGGUAAGCUUCUUGGCAAGCUCUAGGAAGGGAGAAAUGUGGCCGUGAGCUAGCCAUGGAAGCAUAAGAACAGUAAUGC
This 45736-nucleotide long non-coding RNA is filed under the name Prunus persica (peach). RNAcentral describes it as "long non-coding RNA (PPER_LNC002427)". The record is from RNAcentral. Lineage: Eukaryota; Viridiplantae; Streptophyta; Magnoliopsida; Rosales; Rosaceae.